RNAcentral lists this long non-coding RNA (65619 nucleotides) under Gossypium barbadense (sea-island cotton). Its description in RNAcentral is "long non-coding RNA (GBAR_LNC021537)". The record is from RNAcentral. Lineage: Eukaryota; Viridiplantae; Streptophyta; Magnoliopsida; Malvales; Malvaceae.
CUUUUUUUAGGUGAGAAAAUGGGUGGGUAAAAUGGAAUUCUUUAAGCAACAAAUCAGUUAUUCAGUGGGUAUUCAGUGAGGAUGAAAUGGAAUAGGAAUGCCCCCUAUUCCAUGCAUAAACCCGUAAUAGAAUAGACCUAUAAUGGACAUUCUACUGAACCAAACAGUGGUUUGUGGUGGGCCCAUAGAAUUGAGUUGUAAUGGACAGCCAUUACAAUCAACCAAACAUCGCAUUAGAGUCGAAUUAUUUUUUUCUUAAAAUUAGGUCAAUGCAGGUUAAGUUAAAAAAAUAGUCGGGGUCGAGCCAGAGUCAGGUUUUACAUUAACUCAUCCAUCUCAAGAUAUUUACGAAAAUACACCCUAAAACCUAAACAGCUAAGCCCCUAAAUUUUUAGCUGCCUCUUCUUCUUCUCCAUCUCCUACACCCACAACCAAGUAAUUUCUUUCCUUCUCUCUUUACUUAUCUUGCUCUUACUAACUUUAUAUAUUGCCCAUACUUUGUGUUUACAUCACUGUAUCUCCUAUUUUUAAUUUUAAUGUAUUAUUCUCCUUUGUGUUUCCAGAUUUUUAGACUCAAUUGGUUGAAGCAACUUGUUAUGUGAAAAUUACUUAAGUAUAAAAUUUCUCCAAUUAGGUUUGCUACUAAACUAAUGGUAACAUGUCUCUCUUUUUUUUCUUAAUCCAGAAAAAUUGUAAGCUUUUACUCUAGAAUUGAGUUUAAGAGCUUUGUUCUUAAGAAGGAAAUAAAAAAACAAAUAAAAUGAGAUACAAUUCGGGUUAAGGUCAGAUUUUUAUUAAAUUUUGAGGUCGGGUUUGGGUCGGGCUUUUUAAAAGGGAUGGGUGAGUCAAGGUUGGGGCACGAUAAACAAGUUUUAGGUUGGGGUCGGGGCAAGCAAAAAUUUGACUCGUCCCACGCCAUUACCAUCCCUACCCAAAUCCCAUUUCUCAAGUAGUUAGUGAUAAGAAAGAGAAAUGUUGUCCACAUUUAGUGGCGAUGAAACUGUUCCUUUCUUCAGCUUCUUCAGUGUCACUGCUACUUUCGUUUUCUCCUAUAAAUACUUUCCCAAAACUUUGGAUCUUCUUUUAUCAGUGACAAUCCCUGUCCAAUAGGUUUGGUUUCUUUAUUCAGGUAUGGGAGUUACGUACAGGAUAGCGGAGAGCAAUGGCGGAGUGGCCUCGAUAGUAGCUGUGAGGUCGGAGCUGGUUAUGAAAUUGAUCAUCCUUAUUGUUACGGCUAGUAUUUUAGGUAUUUAUGAGUUGAUUAUUGCAUUUAUUAUAAGCACUAGGAUUAACCUAAAGGCCAAAUCUUACUACAUUUUCCAUAGUGUUGUUCAUCUUUCAUUUGGUCUCGCUUUAUGGCCUUAUUGGUCUCUCUACUAGUAUGGCUAUCGUCAUCAUUGGUGAUGCUAGCGCCAAGUGGCUAUCGGCAUUGUUGGUGAUUCUAGCAUCAGGUAUUCUUUUUUUGGCAUUUUCCUUUUAACACUUUUUAGAAUUUGAACUUUUUUGCUAGAUUUUGUUUAGAUUUUUUAAUUGAUUUAGAUUGUUAGUGAAAGGAAUUGAUGUUAGGGCGUAGAGAAAUCCGUAAUUUUAGAAAUGUAGGUUUUUUUUUGGAAUAAACUCGAGUAAACAACAAAUAAAGUGAAAAAAAUAAGAAUAAAAAAGAUCGAACACGUAAAUUUUACUUGGAAAAACUCUUCAAUAGAGGAUAAAAAACAUCGGGUAAAAGGAGAUUCACUAUAAUAAAAGAGAGUACAAAAGAUGGAGAGAAUUAAAAUAAAAACCUGAAACCUCACAAGAAAAGCCCUUCGAAAUAAAUAACACAAUUCUUUCAAUCUAAAUACUUUUUGUUGUGUAAAAUCCAGAGUAACUAAGGCCUAUUUAUAACCUGAAAUUCGUAGCAUAUAUGACUACAACAACUCUAGGUUAAUCAGAAUUUAAGAAACUAAAAAUAGAGUUUAACUAAGAGAAGAAAAGUCAAAAUAAGAGGCAUUAUCCUACAAAUCUCCAUCUUAACUCAUAUUUAGACCAACUCCCUUGUCGAGCCCUAUUACGGGCUUAAUUGAAUCUUCUUCGGAUACUUACCAAGUCUAAGCAAUACUCGAACUUUGAAACUGGAAGGCUCUUUGUCAACAUGUCGGUCGAAUUGUGUUCUGUGCCAAUUUUAAGAAUCUAAACAUCGCCUUGAAUGAUCACCUCUUGAACAAAAUGAUAAUGAAUGUCUAUGUGCUUCGUUCUCUUGUGAUGCAUUUGAUCUUUAGUGAAAUGUAUGGAACUUUGACUAUCACAAUAUACGACAGUUGCCCAUUUUUCACUUACCAGUUCGCUAAACAGGCCUCUUAACCAAAUUACUUCUUUUACUACUUCUAUAAUUGUCAUGUAUUUUGCUUCAGUAGUCGACAAAGCCACUAUAGGUUGAAGUGUCACUUUCCAACUGAUGGUACAAUUCCCAAAAGUAAAUAGGUAACCUGUGAGAGACCUUCUUCGAUCUAAGUCUCCUGCAUAAUCAAAAUCAAUAUAUCUGACUAAACGCUUUUGAGUUCUUCCAAAUUCUAAAUACAUGUUAGAAGUACCCUGUAAAUAUCUAAAAAUCCACUUAACUACACUUACCAGGAUUGGCCAUGUAUCGACUAACAACACUAAUAUGUGAAAUAUCAAAAUGAAUGCAUACCAUUGCAUACAUCAAACUUCCAACUCCAUUUGAAUAAGGUACUUUUAACAUGUACCUUUCAUCUUCUUCAUUCUGUGGGGAAUCUAAAAUUAAGAGUUUAAAGUGUGUAGGUAAACGAGUACUUGUCGGUUUUGCAUCUUGUAUCUCAAAUAGUUUAAGGAUCUUCUUAAUGUACCUUUGUUAUUAUAAAAAAAUAAUUUCUCGAAAUGUCUAUUUCUCAAAUUUUCCACCCCCAAAAUUUUUUUUGCUGCACCAAAAACCUUCAUCUCGAACUUAAAGUUAAGUAUGGUUUUAAGAUGAUCAAUUUCAGAUGGAUUCUUACUCGCAAUUAACAUAUCAUCAAUAUAAAGCAAAAAAAUAUACAAUAACCAUCAUCAAGACAUUGUAGAUAAACACAACUAUCAUACUUACUUUGAGAAAAAACAAUACUCAAUAUGAAGGAGUCAAACUUUUUAUACCACUAUAGAAGAGACUGCUUCAAACCGUACAAAAGCUUUUGUAAGAAACAAACAUGAUUUUCUUUACCUUCAACUUUGAAGUCUUUCGAUUGUUGCAUGUAGAUGUCCCCCUUAAGGUCACUGUGAAGGAAAGCGAUCUUUAUAUCUAACUGCUCUAACUCAAUGCAGCAAGGGUCAAAAGUACCUAAAUGGACGUAUGUUUAACAACAGGAGAGAAAACAUCACGUAAAUCAACUCCCUCCACUUGACUGUAGCCCUUGUCAAUCAAUCUCACCUUGUACCUAGUAUUGUUAAGACCCAAACCUUCCUUCUUUUUAAACACCCAUUUGCAACCAACGAUUCUUUUAUCGAUGGGUGGUUUAACUAGCCUCCAAGUUUCAUUCUUUUGAAGCGAUUUCAUCUCUUCUUUCAUUGCAACAAGCCAUUUGCUUGAAUCGAAGGCUUGAACUGCUUUAGAAUAACACGAAUGAUCGAUUGAAUCAAUGAUCUCGACAACACUUAGAGAAUAAGUCACUAGGUUUCCUUCACAAUGCUUCUAUGGUAGUCGUAUUUCUCGUCUUUUCUUGUCAUGAGCCAACUUAUAAUUAGUUAACUGAGAUGGUGAAGUUGUUUGAGGGUCGAAUGGAGCCCAAACAGAUCUGAAACAGCUUCAAUCUUGCAAGAAUCAAAAUUUUAUUGUGCCGUCGCGAUGUCGUAUGACUCUUCGUGGGGACAAAACCUUUGUUCGUCGCGUCAUUGUGACGUUGGGCAUUUGCUUGUCGGGAUGUCACCCCAUGUUUCAGCUUUUGACUCUACCUUGCUCGAGACACUCUGAACUGUUAUGUCUUUAAAAGUAGAAGUCUCAUUUUCUGAUCGAAACAUGGCAAAUUCAUCAAACAUAACAUUUCUGCUAACAAUUAUUUUGUCAGAUUUCGAACACCACAACUUAAAACCUUUUGUACCGGUAGAGUAUCCCAAAAUGAUGCAUUUAACGACCCUUGGUUUGAGUUUUCCCUAGCUACCUUUAGCAUAAGCAGGAUUACUUGAUCAUAUCUCCCCUGGAACUUAACAAACCAUAAACCAGGAUUUGUCAUGUCAAAUCAUCAAGAAUAAAUCUAAGUGCGGAAGCAUACCUGAAUCCAUGGAUUUCUUGAAAUCUUCUGAUAUUCUGAUUUUUAUCUUCCAAAUUAGUCCACAAGUAAUUUUGAAAAAGUGACUCUCUUUUUUCUAAAGAUGAGAUAUUAGAAAAGUUACUUAUGUGUAAUUUGGGGGACCAUAACCUUAAUAUAUAACUUUUUCACAUUAACCAUAAUUUAUAAUCAAUCCAUCAUCAAUUAGAAAUUAGUUAUUAUAGUAUCUACACAUAUUUGACACAUGGUUUAUUUAAUAACUAAAGCCUAAUAAACCUUAAUCAAAUUAGAUCACUUUUAAUUUAGGCUAAUAUUUUAUGAUAGUAAAUAAAAACAUGUAAUUAUACUUAUUAUAUAUGUGGUGUCCAUACAUUUUCAACAUCUUACCCUUAAUUGAGAAUAUACACAGGUGGGAAUCUUGCUUUAAAGUUAAAAGGGUUAGUUCCAUUUCCAAACCCUAUACUUUAGGUACAUUUUAAAUGUAGUAUUUCUACUUUUAAUUUCAAGAAUUUAAUCCUUCUACUAUUUUUUUUUCUAAUAUAUCCCUCUACUAUUUUGAUUUAACAAUUGAAGUCCAAUUGAUAAGACUGUCAAAAAAAUUUCUGUUAAAUUAGAUUAUAUGAUAUUUUUAAAAUAAAAAAUUACUCAAAAAGUUAAUUUAAAAUUAGACGGAAGUCAUGCAAACAAGAAAAAGAGUAUCAACUUUUACUCUUACUCUCCGAACAAUGUUGAAGAACUUACAAUCUCAAAUUUUGUUUAGACAUUCCACAAAUAUAAUAUUAUGCAUGUGAGCAUUUUUCAUUUUUCAAUUUCAAAAAUCACAUAAUUCAAUUAAACGGAAAUCCUGUUAAUAAAAAAACAAAAAAUAAAAUUUUAAAUGUGCCAAAGGUAUAUAUAUAUAGACGGAGAGUAGAACUAGACCUAUUAAUAACCAGAGUCUACAUUUCUUUAAAAAAAGAGGAGGUAGAAAAAAUUUAGGUGAUGUGUAAAUAUUUGGAUUGUAUUCGUUAAAAUUUUUUAGAAUUAAGGUCAAAAUGAUAAAAUAUAUAAACAUCGAAGGUUGAAUUUGUUAUUAUACCAAAUUAAUGCCAUGAUUAAUUAUCUUUAGUUGCUCACUUUCGAAAUUGAUAGGGUUGAAAUUGCUUCAAUUUUUUUUGAAAUGUACUAAUUUGUUCAAUUUCGAAAUUUAAAGGAACCAAUGAGAUUUUUAAAAAAACACAAUUAUUUCUGAUGUUAACCAGUCAGCGUACCCAAAUGUUCAAAAGGAUUUCGUUAAAAACAUUUAUAUAGUGACUACAUAUAAAAAAUAAAAAAAAGGUGACAAUCGUUCCCCAUCUCCCGAUUGUGAUUUUCAUUAAAAAAUAAAAAAGAACAAUCAUUGAUAAAACCUUGAGCGAAUUUGAGAAGAUUUACAAACUCUAGCACUAUAUUAAAACCAGACUUAGAAAAUUCAAAAUUGAAGUCUGUAGACAGUAAAACAGAUACAUGUAUGUGUGUGUGUGUGUGUGUGUGUGUGUGAAUGAAACAAAUCGGUGGGGAUAAUCAAACAGGAGAAAAUUUUGUAUGAAAGCUAGCUUAAAUAACACCUAUAAGAAAGACAAUACAAUGCGUUUCAAGCUAUGGUUUCUCUUGUUUGAUUGUAGUCCUGAUGUAAAGUUGAGCCCAAACAUUUCCUUAAAAGUCUUCUCUGGGUCUACAAACCCAACCAGCUUUGCAACAAUGGCCGCACUCUCAGCAAUGUGAUCCAUGUCUUUACAGUCAGUCCAGAAGCAGUAAGCCAACUGCAACCUCCUAUGUUUCGUGUUCAACCCGAUGCCCCAUUUAAUGAACAAAUUCUCUCUUUCUUCAUUGGACAGUCUCUUGCUCAUCUGUUGAAUCAGCAUAUGCCUUUCACGACGUAGAGCCUUGGCGCUGUUUACAACAUAUUCAUGGAGAUGAUUAAGUUGUUUUGGAUUAAAAAGGGUGCUUAUCACCAAUGUUCCAAAAUCUACUAUGAACUUGUUAGGUGAGAAUGAACCAAAUAUACCUUGAAGCAGGGUUUUCGACUUGUUCAUUUGCUACUUCCAUUUGAUUACCAUGAGAAAAUAAACUCUUGAGAAAUGACAGCCUCCUGUAUUCCACCUCCAUGUAUAUAUAAUCUUUUGGAUCUCCUUUAAAUAGCAGAAAAAAGUAGGUCCUGUGGACCAGUGACACAUUGCAAGCAUGCCAGAGUUCGAUGAUCUCUCUUUGAAGCCUCUUAAAUUCUGAAGGCCAUUCUGAAGGGCUUUCAUGGUUAUCUGGUAUUGGGUCUAAGCCGACGUCUUUAACAUCCUUGCCAUGUAAAAUGGGCUCUGUGACCUGUACCUGUCAUGCAUGAACAAUAUCAUAUUUAGAAUGCAAUUCUGAUGCAUAUAAAAGAUGGCUACUAUUUAGCAUGGAUCUCUUGUUUUAAUCAUGCAAUUAAUGACGGUUGAUUAAAAAGAUGAAACACUCACCGCAUGAUCAGAAAGUUGCUUCUCAUACUUAGGAUCACACAUUUUUUCUGUUCCUCCCAUUGAAGUAGAGAAAACAGCAUUAUUCUGAUCCUCUGGAGUUGGGACAACCGGAGCCAUAUGCUCAAUGCCAGAACUUUGAGAAUUAUUUUUUGCUAUCGGGGCAUUAAGCUCAUAUUCAGUAGCACUAGUUGAAGAACUUUGAGAUCCAUUUCUAGACAACCUCUCGUUCUGAAGAUCAUACUUCAAUGCAGGAAGUUCUCCCCGCAAAAUAUCUGGUCUUCCAGAGAAAUCUUUCUCAUCCCCCAUGGGAGGUGUGCUCUCAUCCUGUCCUAGCCUUUCAAUCCAUUGGGAGGUCAAACUGGUCAUUAGGCUCGCUUUACAACUUAUACUCCUAGUUAAUUUCAAGCUUCUACAGCUAGAUAUUUCUUCUUUUAGCUGCCAUAAACAUGAUUUUUCAGGAGAUGGAAAAGCAAUAUCUGGGUGGUUGUUACUGCUUUUCAAGUGGAGUGACACGGAUUCUCGCUUUGAUCUAUCUUCAUUGCCAACAUCCAUCAAUCCGGAAAUAGCUGUGUUUUCUCUUGGAGAUGACCUAUUAUAGUUUUGGUAGUUCUUUGGGCUAGGUUCUGACAAAUUUGAGUCUGAAUAUCUAUUCAUACUUGACCUUCCUGAGUCAAUGCAUCGAACUUCCUUGCAAAGUGCCUCUGAAUUUUCAUCAACAAGUUCAUCAUUCUCCUCCUGGGGCAUAUUACUGUUAGUACAAAACUCCGGUAAGGAAAAAACUCGAACACACGAUCGGAACUCGAAAAGAAAAAGAAGAAAUAGGACAGGCUCCAAGGCGUGUAUCAAGCCACUAUCUUUAAGGUUAUAUUCGCCCCCACUUAUCUUCAGUGUGCAAACGAGUUCCAAGCAAAUUAACCUCGAGGAUACAAUGAAGCCAAUGACUAUUUGCGUUUUGCACUGACGAGAAUAGUCCACUAUGCACUGAGUAAUGUAUAACAAAAACUCAAUUUCUACAAAGGAUUUCUGCAGCAAUACUUUAUAGAAUAAUCUAAUAAUAUUAGAAAAUGAAGGAAGAAAAGAAAUAAUAUUAGAAUUUGUUGAUAUGAUUUACAAAUGAAAUCCCAUUCCUAUUUAUAGGAAUUUUCAUGUCUCUUCAUAGAGACAUCUUUCAAUAGGUGUCUUUAUGAAUAAAUAAAUAAUAAUAAUUAUUCAUUUAAUUUUGUAACUAUUCAAAUAAUAUUUUUUGAAUAGUUAUAAUUCUUUUUUAAAAAAUCAAAUGAUAUAACUUUUGACCAAUGACCAAAAGUUUUAUCUUUUGAUUAAUUACACCCAUUCAUUUAUAGUUAUUGGGAUACUAUAAAUAUUUGAAAAUAUUCCAACAAUCUCCCCCCAUUUUCAAAAUAUUUAGAUUUUGAUAUUCUUGGAAAUCAAUUUGCAUAAAUAAAGGUGUCUUACGAUUGAACCUUCACUUAGUGAAAACAUGUUAAAGUUAAUCGAAAUUGUAUGGUAGACUAAGCUUUGAACCAACUAUUCCAUUUGAUUAACUAAACACAUCUCACACAAUGAUUUCAACAUCAGUCAAUGCAUAGUAUCUAGGGACACUAUUAUAGCCAUGUGUCUAUGUCCUCUUUUCAUGAGUGCUGUCAGAGCCAAGCCCUUAAGCUCCUAGAAGCGGCCACACUUCCACUCACAUAAGUAGAUCCCAUCAAAAGUGUUCCCGUAAUUAUAACACUCUAACAUAUUUAUGUUAUGGGUCCAUUAAGAGUACAUUACUCAUCCUUCCCUUAUCAUUACGGGUACCUAGCACUUUAAUCUUAGGAUGGAUUUAUUUAUAGUGCUAACAGUCACAUACUAAUGAUGUACUUUGUCUCAUUGAACUCAAGACUUGACGUUAUACCAAGCGUUGAGUCGAGUUUCCAUCAUGGGUGACUCUAAUUAAUAGGCUUGAGUCCCAUCCCUUUUGAGGUCCUUUUUACUGCAUCUCUAGCAAGACUUUUUGUCAAAGGAUCUGCCAAAUUUUCACUUGACCUCACAUAAUUAAUAGUGAUCACUCCAUCAGAGAUUAAUUGUCGGACAUAACUAUGUCUUAAUCCAAUGUGUCUAGACUUUCCAUUAUAUACUUGGCUAUAUGCCUUUGCUAGAGUAGCCUCACUAUCACAACGGAUAGAAAUAUGUGAAAUUGGCUUAAGCCAUAAAGGUACAUCAUAAAGCAAAUUUCUUAACCAUUCUGCUUCUUUAGAUGCAGCGGCUAAUGCAAUAAAUUCUGCUGCCAUGGUGGAAUCAGUAAUACAUGUUUGUUUCUUGGAACCCCAAGAAAUGACUCCUCCACCAAGAAUGAAGAUCCACCCACUAGUAGAUGCAUGAUCUUCCAAACUUGUAAUCCAACUAGCAUCCGAAUACCCUUCUAAAACUGGAGGAUAUCCAUUAUAACACAAUCCAUAGUUAAUAGUUUUCUUUAAGUACCUAAGUACUCUAUUUAAAGCUUGCCAAUGCAAACUACUUGGAUUACUUGUGUAUCUACUCAAUUUUCCAAUAGCAUAUGCAAUAUCUGGUCUUGUACAAGUCAUUAUGUACAUAAGACAACCAAUUAGACUUGCAUAUUUCAAUUGAUCAAUUUUCCUACCAGCAUUAGAUACUAAUUUUAAUUGAGGAUCCAUGGGUGUAGAUGCUGGUAUACAGUUGAAAAGAUCAAACUUUUUAAGCACAUUUUCAAUGUAAUGUGAUUGUGAUAAAGCUAUAGUGCUUUCAUCUCGGGUUAUUUUAAUCCCAAGAAUAACAUAUGCUACACCCAUAUCCUUCAUAGCAAAGUUGUUUGACAAGAAUUUCUUUGUGUUUUCUAUUUGUUCCAAAUCCGUGCCAAAAAUGAGCAUGUCAUCUACAUAUAAGCAAAUUAUAACACCCUUUCCAUUAUCAAAUUUACUAUAUAUGCACUUAUCGGAUUCAUUUAUUUUAUAGCCAUUAGCUAAAACAACCUUGUCAAACUUUUGGUGCCAUUGUUUUGGUGCUUGUUUAAGCCCAUAUAAAGAUUUAACAAGCUUACAUACCUUAUGCUCUUGUCCUGGAACAACAAAUCCUUCCGGUUGCUCCAUGUACACUUCCUCUUCCAAUUCACCAUUUAAAAAUGCAGUUUUAACAUCCAUUUGGUGAACAACCAAAUUAUAUAUAGAGGUAAGUGAUAUUAAUAGUCUAAUUGUAGCAAUUCUUGCUACUGGAGCAUAGGUAUCAAAGUAAUCAAUACCUUGUCUUUGUGUAAAACCUUUUGCUACCAACCUUGCUUUAAAUUUAUCAAUGGUUCCAUCGACCUUCAUUUUCUUUUUGAAGAUCCAUUUACAACCUAUUGGUUUGGAACCUGGUGGAAGAUCAACUAAGAUCCAAGUUUGAUUUCCCAUUAUUGAAUCCAUUUCAUCAUUUAUUGCUUCUUUCCAAAAAGCAGAGUCUUAAGAUUUCACUACUUCUUCAAAUGUAAUAGGAUCAGAUUCGGUAUUAUAACAAUAAGGCAUCUUAUUGCAUAUACUUUCACCUUUUCCUUCUACAAGAAACAUAAUGAAAUCUGGUCCAAAAUCUUUGACCUUUUUAAUCCUCUUACUUCUUCUUAAUUCUUGACAAGAUUCAUCAUUAUUAUCAAUUUGUUUCAAUGGAAUCUCAUUCUCAUUUGAAGAAUGAAUCAAUUGUUGUGGUUGUAAUUGUCUUGAUAUAGAAUUAAAUCUAUUUUCAUCAAAAAUAGCAUCUCUUGAUUCAAUAACCGUAUUAAUUGAAAUUGAAUCAUUUGGUUCAAUUACUAUGAACCUAUAUGCCUUGCUAUUAUGUGCAUAACCUAUAAAUAUGCAUUCAAUUCCUCUUUCACCUAACUUUUUACGUUUAGGUGUUGGAACUUUUACAAUAGCUCUACAACCCCAAACCUUUAAAUAAUUAAGGUUUGGUUUCCUUUUCUUCCAUUGUUCAUAGGGGGUUAUUUUAGUUUCCUUAUUAGGAACUCUAUUCAAUAUAUGACAAGCUAUUAGAACAGCUUCUCCCCAAAAACCCUGUCCAAGACCUAAAUAUGAUAACAUUGAAUUUACCAUUUCAAUCAAGACUCUAUUUUUCCUUUCAGCUACACCAUUUUGUUGUGGUGUGUAAGGGGCUGAAACUUGAUGGACAAUUCCAGUGAGUUCAAAAUAACUUGGAUUAUAGUAUUCUCCACCUCUAUCCGAUCUUAAGCACUUGAUAAAUGAUUCACACUGAAGUUCAACUUCAGAUUUAUAAACUUUAAAUUUAUCAAGCACUUCAUCUUUUGAAUGCAAUAAAUAUACAUAACAAUAUCUAGAACAAUCAUCAAUAAAAGUAACAAAAUAUUUCUUUCCACCUAAUGUAGGAGUAUUAUGCAAGUCACAUAAAUCACUAUGUAUCAAAUCAAGCAAUUUUGUUUUCCUUUUAACCUUAGGGAAAGGAUUUCUUGUAAUUUUAGUCAACAUACAGGUAUUGCAUUUUUCAAUAUUAUUAUUAAAAACAGGAAUUAAAUCUAAUUUAUACAUGUCAUUCAAUUUUCUAUAAUUCAAAUGACCUAAUCUAUAAUGCCACAAACAAAAUGAUUCAACCAUAUAAGCAGAAAUAGUAUUUUUAUUCUUAUUAAUAAUAUUAAGUUUGAACAUGCUUUCAUACAUAUACCAUUUUCCCACAAAAAUUCCUCCCUUAGACAAAAUAAACUUAUUUGCCUCAAAAACAAGUUUGAAACCAAACUUAUUCAACAGACUUCCAGACACUAAAUUUUUCCUAACUUCUGGUACAUAAUAUACAUCAUUUAAGGUUAAAACCUUUUCAGAAGUGAAUUGUAGUUCAACAGACCAUUUACCUUUAAUUGUUGCGGUGGAAGAAUUUCCCAUGUACAAGACAUUGUCAUUUUCACAUUGUGUGAACUUUGUGAACAUGCUUUUGUCUUUGCACACAUGUUUGGUUGCUCCGGUAUCAAUCCACCAUGUAUUAUCAUCUUGUGCCAUAUUAAUUUCAGAUAUCAUUACAACGAACUUUUCGUUUUUAUCAGCCUUAGAAGAUGAUUUCUUCUUUAAAAAUCGACAUUCAUUCUUGAAAUGUCCCGGCUUUCCACAAUGAUAGCAUGAGCCCUUUUGUUUCUUUUUGAACUUAGGUGCUCUAUCAGUCUGAUUGAACUUUCUCUUGAAUGGUUUAGUAGUCUGUACUUCCUCCGUAACAUGUACUUUGGCAUUUUCAGAAUUUAGGUUCUGAUCUUGUUUUCGAUACUCUUCUUCAAUACGAAGAUGAUUUGCCAAAGCCUCAAGAGAUAUUUUCUCUUUCUUAUGUUUUAGACUUCUUUUAAAGUCUUUCCAAGAUGGAGGAAGUUUGUCUAUUAUGGAGGAUACCACAAUCAUUUCAUCCAUUUUCAUAUCAUAUUGCUUAAAUUGAUUCAGCAUCUUUUCAAUAUCACGAAAUUAUUCCAUAACAGAACGACCAUCAACCAUUUGAUAAUUAUUGAAACGACUGACAAGAAAUUUCUUACUUGUAACAUCUUCGGUCAUGUAUCUUGCCUCCAAUUUGUCCCAUAAUUCUUUAGCGGUGACGUCGUUUUGGUAGGUGUCGAACAAACCAUCAGAUAAACCAUUCAAUAUGUGGCCCAUGCACAUGUAAUCAGCAUUGUCCCAUUUUUGUCUUUCUCGGGUUGCAGCAACAGAUUCAUUUUCAUUCUCUUCAGGUCUUGGAGUAUCCAAAACAUAAGCAAUCUUCAAAGUUGAUAACAAAAAGUGCAUAUUUUUCUGCCAUCGUCGAAAAUUGCCACCAUCAAAACGAUCAAGUUUAACAAAGUUGGAAGCCAACUCCCUUAGUGUUCCACUUUCAUGUGUUGUGGUAGUUAUCAUGAAAUAUAACCUUAAAAUUGUUAGUACAAAACUCCGGUAAGGAAAAAACUCGAACACACGAUCGGAACUCGAAAAGAAAAAGAAGAAAUAGGACAGGCUCCAAGGCGUGUAUCAAGCCACUAUCUUUAAGGUUAUAUUCGCCCCCACUUAUCUUCAGUGUGCAAACGAGUUCCAAGCAAAUUAACCUCGAGGAUACAAUGAAGCCAAUGACUAUUUGCGUUUUGCACUGACGAGAAUUGUCCACUAUGCACUGAGUAAUGUAUAACAAAAACUCAAUUUCUACAAAGGAUUUCUGCAGCAAUACUUUAUAGAAUAAUCUAAUAAUAUUAGAAAAUGAAGGAAGAGAAGAAAUAAUAUUAGAAUUUGUUGAUAUGAUUUACAAAUGAAAUCCCAUUCCUAUUUAUAAGAAUUUUCAUGUCUCUUCAUAGAGACAUCUUUCAAUAGGUGUCUUUAUGAAUAAAUAAAUAAUAAUAAUUAUUCAUUUAAUUUUGUAACUAUUCAAAUAAUAUUUUUGAAUAGUUAUAAUUCUUUUUUAAAAAAUCAAAUAUAUAACUUUUGACCAAUGACCAAAAGUUUUAUCUUUUGAUUAAUUACACCCAUUCAUUUAUAGUUAUUGGGAUACUAUAAAUAUUUGAAAAUAUUCCAACAAUUACUUCCAACAAAAUCAGGAAUUUUAGGUGACAGCUGCGGGGAGGAACUGGGAUGUGGUAUAUUCAAUUUAAAGUCAGAAAGCUGGAGGAAGCUCUCUCCAGAACUGCAGCUUUGUCUAUCUGAAGGGGUGAAGGAUCUAGCACCAACAGCCAUGACAGGUGUACCAAUGGUUGAAUGUUCAAAGUCCCACGAAUUUUGCAGUCUCAGUUUAGGGUAAUGAGGAUCUGGACCUGCCUGAUGGAGGACAUGUAGAACUAGAAGUUAAACUUUGUAUGUAGAAGUGAACUUAAAAGAAGCAUCAAAUGCUAUAGUAAUUCACACAAACCCAUAUUUUCACUGGUUUUUCAUCUUCAGGACUUUCAUUGGUUACCGCUUGUCGCAGAUUCUCAACCUCAGACCUAGCAAGUUCUCUUUGCUGUUUCAGUGUGGCCACCUCUUUCUUUAGCUGCAUGAAGCAUGCAGGAAAAGUCAAUAAUUCAUUAUUUUAUCUAUAUUCUUGAAAUAAGGAUGAAUUUGAAAUUUUGGCAGCUAAAAACUAUUUUGUAAGAAAUGUCCACCUGCCAGGCUUCUAAAACUAUUCAAUGAGUGAUGCAAGAGAGUGAGGAGCAAUGCAACUCGAACCUUUUCAAUCUCGAGGUCUUUCUCUCUUAGCAAUGCAGCAGAAUCAGAGGAAAUCGAAGUUGUUCUUGCACUUCUUAGCUCGUUCUCUAGUCUAGCCAAUUCUCUUUGCAGUUGUUUCACUAAUGCUUUAUCCGACAUGACCACAAUGACUUGUGCAUUGGUAGUCACUUCUUUAGCACAACUUGCAAAUAAGAGGGUGUUUCUCGAUUGUUCAANNNNNNNNNNNNNNNNNNNNNNNNNNNNNNNNNNNNNNNNNNNNNNNNNNNNNNNNNNNNNNNNNNNNNNNNNNNNNNNNNNNNNNNNNNNNNNNNNNNNNNNNNNNNNNNNNNNNNNNNNNNNNNNNNNNNNNNNNNNNNNNNNNNNNNNNNNNNNNNNNNNNNNNNNNNNNNNNNNNNNNNNNNNNNNNNNNNNNNNNNNNNNNNNNNNNNNNNNNNNNNNNNNNNNNNNNNNNNNNNNNNNNNNNNNNNNNNNNNNNNNNNNNNNNNNNNNNNNNNNNNNNNNNNNNNNNNNNNNNNNNNNNNNNNNNNNNNNNNNNNNNNNNNNNNNNNNNNNNNNNNNNNNNNNNNNNNNNNNNNNNNNNNNNNNNNNNNNNNNNNNNNNNNNNNNNNNNNNNNNNNNNNNNNNNNNNNNNNNNNNNNNNNNNNNNNNNNNNNNNNNNNNNNNNNNNNNNNNNNNNNNNNNNNNNNNNNNNNNNNNNNNNNNNNNNNNNNNNNNNGUCUAUUGAGUCGACCAAGCUACCUGACCCUUGGAUAGGUCUAAUGAGAACUAUCUAAUGCAAUGAAACACUAACCUUACCUAUUGAAAAAACUCUCUAAUGUAGUUCUAAAAGCACCCAUUCAAUAAAAUCAUGAUUUUAUUACUAUUGAAAUACAAUCAAACGAAAGAAAUAACAUACACUAAGAUUUUGCUUCUCUUUGGCGAUGAAGAAGAAAAUGAAGACAAUGAGCUUCUUUUGUUGCUUCUCCAUCUCUGAAGAUGUGUUGAUGGUUUUGGGAUUUUAUUUUAAAUUAAAAAUUCAUUUUUUAUCUUUUAUUUCUUUCCAUAAAUUUAAAAUAUUAUUUUCUAAAAUUUCAAAAUCCAUGAAGUCCUUGUUUAGAACCCAUAAAUUUAUAUUAAAAAUUCAAAACCUAGAAAUUGUUAAAUCCAAUAACUUAAAAGAUUAAAGCUUGUUAGAGUAUUAAACAAUAUAAUAUAUUGAAAUAGGAAAGUUUAUAAUAGCUAAGGGGAUACAAAAAUGAAUAAUCGAAAUUAUAAAAUGGUGAUUACACAAAAUUGAGAGAUACGAAAGUAUAGGAGAUGCGAAAAUAAGUAUUCAUUAAAGUAGAAUAAAGUAAGCAUUAAAUAAAUUUUUAUGUACCUUUUAGAUGGAAGUAUGGAUGACAAAGAUAAACUAAACAUUAAGGAAAACAUGAGAAAUUUAAAAGUGAGUAAUCAAAACUUUUAGUUGAUUUUUUUCUCCAAUCAAGUUUAUUUAUUUAUUUAUGGUUUCAAUCAAGCAUGAGAAACCCUUUUUAUUUUUUUAGGUUUUGUAAAAUAGGGAAGAAAGCCUUGUAAAAAGACGAUGGUUUAUGGGUUUCGACUCGAAAGUUUGAUCAAUUUUUUAAAGAUUUUUUUACAUAUAUAUUUUGAAUUUUUAUAAAAUUUUUAUUCAUAUUUUUAAUUUUUAAAAAUAUUUUAACGUGAAUUUUAAUAUUUUUAAUAAUUUAUAUUUAUUUUUAAUAUAUUUUAAAUUUUUUUAAAAAUUAUUGUUAAGAAAUUCUUUUGAAAAAAAUUAAAAUGAUAUUUUAGCUAUAAUUUAGGGACCAAAUUAGUAAUUAAUUAUUUAAUCAGAGGGAUAAUUUGUACGUUUUGAAAUGUAUAAAGACUAAUUUACUUAUUUAUUCAGUAGAUGAGUCGAAAUACAAUCUAUCUUAAGUAAUAGGCUUCCCUGGUACAUUUAUCAAAAAAGAAUCUAAUAGUAAUGAAGAUAACAUUCAUGGGCUGGACAACUUAAGGCCUAAAUAAAUGAUACUAAAUUAUAUAUCUUGAGUUUGGACUUCUUUGUGAUGUGGUCAUGGAAGAUGUUUAAUCCAAAACAACAUGAGCUAUCUUGUCUAUAACCCAAAACAGUUGACUUGGAGACAGCACAAAGCUCUAUCUGCUUGUAUUCUUAUGGAUAUUCUAGUUCUUUUCUUACCUCUUUUGCGCCCCUUUUCCUCCCUUUUUUGCACUUUCCUAACCUUGAUUCAUGGAUGUUGUUGUUGUGAUGGCCGUCAUCGUCAUAAUCUAACUCACCCGUUUGUGGCUGUAUUCACAGCUGGGAUACCAAUAAGUUCUGCUGCCAUAGUUGUAUAUAUAGAUAACAAUUUCAUGUUAGUAUUUCUGAUAAAAUAUUCGAUACGUUUGUUGGAAAUGAAGAAAAUGUUAAGCCUGAGGUAGUGACUCUUACUAUCAAACAUGUCAUAUUGUUGACCAAAAACAUCCAGACUUGUUCCCAACUGUUGACCUGUGACGUGAUCACCAUGCAUGAGGCUAGGCUAGGGUGUCAAUUGCAACGCGAUUUUACUGUCAAAUUUCAUGUAACGGGAAACAGCAAAGAAGUUUCUCACUUUUUGGAACUUUGUACUCUCUGUCUUUAGGAUACCUCGAAAAGGCAAAAACAGCACUGCCUCUUCCUUUAUGCUUGUUUGGUUAUAGCCCUUCAAAAUCACCAUUUUUCGGCACAAAUGAACAAUAUUAGAAUAGAUUUUGUUAUUCGCUUAUUUUUGCGGCAUCUUCAACACGAGCUUAGGCAACAAGCUAAACCAGACAGCUUUCUUUUUUUUUCUUGCAAAUUGAUUUUGUGCAGAUCCUGAUGGAAGGGAAAAAAAAUCUUUGUCACUUUCACAUAUAUGGUUAUGCCGAUGAAUGAACAGUGCAAAAAACGCGUGAUAAAGCAGUAACUAGCUAAUAAUCCACAUAUAGAAAAUCUACAUACCAAAUAGUAUACGACAUAAUAAUCUCAACUUGGAAACUAUAUACGUUAUCUUUUACAACUGUUAAUCGAAUCCGAUUAUUCCUGAAAAAUGUGAACUCCCGAUCAAUAGAUCAUAACAUGAGGUUCGAAAACUAUGUACCAGAAUGGGAAAUUCAAUGAUAAAAGGGUUAAAGACCCUCUACUUAAUGUCUAACUGCCUCUUGUCUGUAUAAAUAAAAACCAUAAAACCAAUGAAACAGAUAGUUUUUUUAUUUUAUUUUUAAAUUAAUGGAAUCUGAACACCAGCUUGGGAGCAUUAAUCAAAUUACAACGUUUCAGGUACAGAAGCUAAAUGGCUGUUAUGAUAUUUUGAACUUGUACACUUUUUUCCUAUCUCUUCAAAAACAAAAAAAAAAAGGGUCUAUGUAUCUGAUUGGGAAGUAAGAGAAUUUGCCAGGAAAGUUCCUCAUAAUUACUUGAAUUUGAAUUCAUGAAAUGAGAUGUUUCACUGUUUGCUUUUGCUUUAUAAAAGACCACAAGGCAGUAACCUAGUCAUCAUGCAAAGUGAGAUAGUAAAGAUAGGCAGAAGCAAAGUGUAAGAGUGAAAACAUGUUGGACUCCGUGGAAGCAAACAACUUUGAGGCAUUGCCACUUCUGUCAUUGAAUCAUGUCUCAUUGUUGUGUAGAUCAGUCUGGGAUUCAGUGCGGUUCUACGAAGAUGUUUUGGGCUUUGUUUCCAUCAAACGCCCUUCUUCUUUCAACUUCAAUGGAGCUUGGUAACCUUACUGCUCUACCCUAGUUUAGUAAAAUCCAGUGUUGAAUGAAACAGGAUACUAACUAAACAACUGAUGCAGGUUGUAUAAUUAUGGCAUUGGGAUACACUUAAUUGAGAAUCCAUCUAUCGAUGAUUUCGACACUAUCGUUGAACCUCGACCGAUUAAUCCAAAGGAUAAUCACAUAUCCUUCCAGGUAUGGCAAAAUGAAUCCAAGUUGAAUCUUUCAGAAACCAAGCAGCACUAACAAGUUUCUGUUUGAAAUGGCAGUGUACUGAUGUUGGCCUUGUCAUGAGGAGGCUGCAAGACAUGGGAAUGAAGUAUGUUACGGCGGUGGUCGAAGACCAAGGGAACAGGGUUGAUCAGGUAUUCUUCCAUGAUCCAGAUGGUUAUAUGGUUGAGCUCUGCAACUGUGAGAACAUUCCUAUCAUUCCUCUUUCUUCAUGCUCAUUCAAGCAAAGGCUAAGCAGUUUCUACAAGUCUGCACCGGCUAAAUGCGGAUUCAUGGAAAACGCCAUGAUGGAGAGCUUGAGCAUGGAAAUGUUGAACAUUUCAUUUUGAAUCAGCAGAAGAAAAAGAAAAACUGUGAGCAACUUCCAUUUUCUUUUUCUGCUAUUAUAUUCUGCAAUUGUUUUCACAAGUCUUACAAUGGUGUGCUGUCUUGUUUUUCAUGAACAACAUGUGUAUUUCGUAAUGGUUAUAGCAGUUAAUAAGUAUGCGAGAUUGAGUUGCAAUCCUUGUGUAAUAUAUCUAUACCCUAUCAGCCUAAAUGAGGCUUUUGAUGUAUAAAUGAAAGAAAUAUGGUUUGCAAAAUCUCAGUGUCUUGCCAUUUUGUGCCUUGCCCCUCAGCAAUGUUACUCAUAUUCUUAUUUAUUUUCUUUUUAAAUUUUGAAUUUAAUCCUUAUAUUUUAUUUCCAAUUAUUUUAGAUUUCAAAAUUUUGAAAUAAAAGAUUUUACAUUAAUGUAUUUUAAUUUUCGACAAAAAAUGAUUUAUGGCGGUGAAAAUGUGGAGCGAGAAGCAGAAUGACAAGUAUGGAGGUAGGUGGGAGAAAUGACAUAAAGCCACAACAUGAAGCGAUAUCUGUCAACAAAAGCUGUGUAAACAUGGUAUAGAAAACUGAAUAAAGAAGGUGUUUUGAUGGAAGAUGCAACUCAUUGAGCUUCCGCCAGUUGUGCUGAGAUUGCUUCCUCACUCAGUUUUUUUCUUGGUUUCUCAAGAAUAAUAUGCAAUCCCCGCUAAAGUAGAUACAUAAUCAGCUACUUAUUAAAAUUGAGAAUAUUAUUUCUUAAAAUAUUUUUAAAAAAUAUUUAUGUAUUUUUAAAAAUUUCUUUAAAUUUUUAGAAUUAAGAUCAAAUUGACAACAUUUGUAAAUUUUGAGAGUUAAUUUUUUAAAAAAAUGAUUAAAUCAAUAUAAUAUAUAAAAGUUAAUGGUUAAAUUUAUUAUUAUAUCGAUUUUUUUAACUGUCACAUUAGCCUGUGGUUUGUGAUUUUAACAAGAGUGAUCAAAAUUAUCGAACUAUGUAAUGUAGAUAAAAACUUUUGGUAAUUUGGUGACUAUUUGUAUAUUUCAUUCUUUAAUAAAAUACAGUUAAAGGAUUUGAACAUUUUUUUUCUUGAUUUACUUUAAUUCAUUUGGUUUAAGUUUUACAAUUUUAAGGGUAAAUUAUACAAAUAGUUAUUCAAUUAUGCCCACAUUCCUCUUUUGGCCUCUCAAGUUUAAAAAUAUUCAAUUUAAGCAUUAAUACUUGAAUUAGUUCCUGUUUUGGUCACCCGCAAUUAAAUUAAUAAUAGAAAGUCUUUUUCUAAUUGAUAUAAUAACACAUUUAGUCCUCAAUUCUUUAUUCUACCAAUUUAAUCCUAAUUCUAAAUAAUUCAAUAAAUUUAACCCUUCAUAUUUACAAAUUCUAUCAAUUUGAUUUUCAAACUUCCUAACAAAAGCUUUUAGCUUUUAAAACACAUGCAUUCCACAUCUAUAAAUUUGUAAAAACCCAAAAAGAAGAAAAAACUUCUCUCAACUACCAAGCCUUUUUUGAGCUAAUUUCUAAUACCAAUGAGUUUAUCUUGAAACUUUAUUUACUUAUUUUUUUUCAUUAGUUUUAUUCUAAAUAUAAUAUUUUAUAACACUUUGAUUGAUAAAAUUUUGGUUAGAGAAGAUGAAAAAAACCUUUAAGAAAGACACUUUAGAUUUAAUCUUAUUGUUAGCAGUAUGAUAUUUCCUUCAACGUACACAAAAAUAGUCCUCGAAGUUAGUCUUUGAAAUUGGAAAUUAAAUCCAGAGUUAAAAAAUAUGGUUUUAAAAAAUUUAAUUGUUCAAUCAAUAAUUAUAUAAUAAAAAAAUUACAAAAUUUUAAUUUUUUCAUAAGAAAAAAAAUGUGAAAGAAUUAAUUGAAUUUCCUUUUGUUACAUUGAUAAUUAUUUUUUUAAAGAUUAAGAGAUUAUUAUUAUUAUUAUUAUUAAUCUGUUUUCUAUUUAUUUUUAAUUUUUAAAUCCACAAUAAGCAAUAUGUAUCACUAAUAAUCUAAUUUAGUGUCAAAUCAUUUACCAAAUUAAUUAAAAACUAAAAUUAUGCUAGUUAGAGUGGAAAAUUAUUUUUUGUCAAAUAUUAAAUUGUUUAUAUAAUUUUAUAUUUUUAAAAUUUGUAAUUUCUGUUAUCUUUAAUGGUGUUUAGUUAAUUUUUAACAUUACCUUCUUAAAAAUAUAAACAAAAAGGGUUAUUACCAAAUUUAACAAUUUCAACCAUAAAUAAAAUAAUUAAUAAAUGUGGAAUACCUUUGUUCUAAAGGUUGAAAGCUUUGGUUAGGAAGUUUGAAGAUCAAAUUGAUAGAAUUUGUAAAUGUGAAGGGCUAAAUUUAUUUAAUUAUUUAGAAUUAAGAUCAAAUUGAUAGAAUAUGUAAGUAUUGAAUACUAAAUGUGUUAUUAUACCAUUUGGAAAAAGACUUUCCAUUAUUAAUUUAACAACAAAUGUCCAAAAUAAGAACAAAUUCAAACAUUAGUUCCUAAAUUGAAAAAUUUUAAACUUAAGUGACCAUAACAAAAAUACGAGCAUAAUUAGAUGAUCAAUGAUCUACCCAAAUUUAAUAAUAAUUAUAUCAAACAUGGAAGAAAAAUGACUAAUAAAUUCUUAUUAACAUCACAUUUAUAUUACAUUACUAUUGUCAUUUCCGAAACCCAAGGAUUUGAGACCUAACAACAUUGAAUACCCAUGGGAAGAAUGUCAUAACACAAUCAAAAUCCAAAAUACCAAAUGUCUCCAAAAUUUCAAAUUUACAAAACUUUAAGUCUCCAUAAAUUCUGUUUACCACUUGAUCGAAAUUAUAACAAUAUUUUGUCUAACUAAUACAUGACUAAAUUUGCAAUCAUCUUAUUUGAAAGAUCAAAAGGAGGUGUGUAGACAAAUAACCAAUUAUAAAAUGUUACGUGUUAAGCCGAAAUUAUUAUGGAUAAAAAUGAUGACAUCACAUAUUACACUAUCAUUAUUUUUUUCUAAUUAAUUUAAAUUAAUUAAAAGAUGAAUAAUAAAAAAUUAUACUAUCACUAUUUAAAUUAAAUUAAUUAAGUGAUAAUAUUAAAUGAUUAUUUUAUUUCUGAUUAAUUAAAUUAAUAUGAGAUAAAUAAUAAAUAAAAUAAUUUAACUUUGAGAAUCACUCUAACUUUUUUUACACAAGUGAUUGACAUUGUAAAAAGGGUUAUCUCUAAGUCAUUCUACACAAGUUUAGAAGUUCAUAAAUCAAAGGCUAAGGAGAAGAUUUUGAAGAUGAAAAAUUCUUUUCAAAAUUGCAAGAAACCUCUAAAGAAGUCAAACAAAUUUUGAAGAACACCACAUUGGUUUUGAAGAAAACUAAUCUUCAAUCUUGCUCAACUCAUAGAAAAAAGGUAAACUUGUUUUUUCAAGAUCACACGUAAAAGGCUUUUGAAGCAAAAUCGUCCAUUCAAAAUCAAGUCUAGACGACCCUUUGACCAAAGCAUUCUUCUAUCCGAUUGCACCAACAUAAAUGAGAUAAAACUCGUUUUCAAGAUCAAGUCCCAAUAACCCUUAAAAUGAACAUCAUUCAUUCAAGAUCAAGUCUCAAAGACUCUUGAAUCCUAUCAAAUCAAAUUCUCAAGCAAGCAUGUCGUCAAAUCCAAUUUCAAAAUUAAGUCUCGACGACCAUUGAAACGACUCACAUCCAUCUAAGUUAUGUCUAGACAAACCUUGGAUUGAAACUCUAUUAGAGAGAAGAGAGAAUUUCUUUGUAUUUGAGAAACAUCCAAGGAUUGUAACUCAUAAUCUCAUAAAUACAAGUUCUUUAAUUUGCUCCAAUUUCUAGAUUUUAAUUUUUACUCCAAAUUUGUGUCUAGGUGCUAAGCUCGAAACGAUAAGCUCUUGUGAAACUAAAAUUCAUAACAUAUAAGUCAAAAUUUUCCAUUAGACCUCGUACUUUGUGUAAAUUUUAGAUUUAGUACUUGUACUUUAAUUUGAUCAAUUUUAGUCUCUAUACUUUUCAAAAUUUCAAAUUAUAGUCCUAACCCAAUGGUAAUAGUUAGAUAUGUUUGGUUAAAUUAUGUAAUUAGUCCUGUAUUGUAACAGCACUUACUCGGCCCGGUCACCUGGCUUGAGCUACAGGAUGUUACUGUAGUAAUCGAAACUGAAAACACAUAUAGAUAAUCAUGCAAUAGUCAUUCAUAUCUCAAUAGCAAUCAUAUGAUGUUAUUUAAAUAGAAAUCAAGACUAAAUCGAGAUUACGAAAGCUCUAUAGGUGACCCGGGCAUGAAUUAGAACCAAAUUAUAAAGAUUUAAAAUUUUGGAAUUUUUGUAACGAUGCCGGAUAGUGAAUCACAUCAUGACGUCAAACCACUUGAUUUUGCGAUAUCACAAACUGUCGUUCAACGUUGUGACGAGGAAAAUUUCACGUCAAGACAAGAACCCUAUUUUUGGUAAAAUUAAGCCAUUUAGUACCUAUUUUGUGCCAGGGUAUACCAUUAGCUCAAAUAGUGCAUAUUUGCAUGACUAAAACUGCACAAAAUCAACUUAAACACAUACCAAAACAUCCGUAUAACCAACCAUAAGAUCAACCAAACCAUUUCACAUAAAUUUGACACUCUACUUAUAACACCCCUAACCCGUCUCCGUUAUCGAAUUAGGGUUAUGGAGCAUUACCAUGCAAAUCCGAACACUUUAAUAUCAAAACAUAUCAAUAAUUUCAUUUAACAACAACCACUUAAAACUAAUCAAAACCCUAGCAUACAUGUAUAUUUGGGCCUUAAAUCGGGCCUUCGAGGCCCUAAAAUCAAUUAGGGAUCCAGGACUAAAUCAAAACAAAUCAGAAUAUUUGGGAAAAAGUUGCAAAAUUUGAAAACAGGGGUCACACGGCCGUGUAACAUAUCCCAGACCGUGUAACAAUCGAACAAAGGGACACACGACAUUGUCCCAGCCCGUGUCUCAAACCAUAUAACUCAUUGAAUUGUGUCAUACGGUUGUGUUCCAGACCGUAUAACUCUUUGACUUGUGACAUACGGCCGUGUCACAGGCCGUGUGCUAGGCCGUGUAACACAUUGACUUGUUACACAAGUCUAUGUCUUAGGCCAUGUGAAAUUUACAUAAAAAAUAACAAGUGACAUACGAUAGUGUAGCCGGGCCGUGUGACAGCCCGUGUCCCAGGUCGUGUGCUCCAUAAUUUGACCUUAAAAACAAGCCAUUUCAUGGCCAAAACACACUUAAUCAACCGUCCCAUUUGUGCAUACAUUUAAAAAACCUAAACACCUUUCAAACACUUAUAAAUAUACCAUUUCAAACAUCCUAUUUCAGCUAACUAAUAUGCUAUCUAGAGGCACCACAUUUAUACCAAAACAUCAUUAACCAAAGUAAAGAAACAUAACCACAUUUCAAACACAAAACCUAGUUCCUUUAACUACCAAAUAACAUUAAUUUAACCACUCACACUUCAAACAUACCAAAAAGAACGAUAUAUUCCAAGUAUCUAAAAGUGGCUAAAAGACUUAAACUUGUCAAGCAUUAAAAGUUCAUCAAACAAGACUUAAACUCCAUAAGCAUAUUUGUACCAAAAUGAUCAUUACCACAUUCAUGAACUACCAUUACACAAAAUCCUAUACAUGUCAUUUAUAACCUUGGCCAAAAUAACUCAAAAACUACCGAAAUGGUUGUUGGAUAGUGUGAUAGAUCUCCGACAAGCUUCCAACCGAUCGAGCUUCCGAUAAUCUACGAAACAAAGGAAAGUAACUACGUAAGCAACUAGUGCUUAGUAAGCUCAUAUAAACUCAAACAUAACUUACCAUUCUUAAGCACAAAUUGUAAAAUAAGCAAAACAUCAUUACCAAGACCAUAGGCUUAGUAAAAUCCUAUACAAGCGCCAUCGAACUCACAAGUUAGUAAGUUCAUACAUGAUACAUAUAUGUUCAACAAUAUCAUAAGUAGAUUUUCAUGUACACAUCAUUUAUCACAUUAACCUUUUUAUAAAAUCAUGAACCAAUGUCCCAUUGUGUACUUACAAUGCCAUUUCCUUUACUUACCCGUUGAACCAUUUAGAAUUGCAUUGGAUACUCAGGAAUGCUCACACAUAGUGUUCAUUUUCAUAUAACCGUAACCUUUCCUUUUCAAUAGUGCUCACUGGAGCUGUGAAAUGUGUUUACUCACACGAGUUGUAGGUCGAAAUGUUAGCUACACGAUGCUGCUCACACGAGCUGUGGAGAAUUCGCAAAAAAUGCAGGACCUCAGCCAUCAGUAGGACAUUCAAGACUAGCAUCCAAAACAUGAAAUCCCAAAUGACAUGUCAUUUGUAUCCUAAGAAUUCCUAAGGUUCAAACAAGACUAUUUAUCUGUCAAUUACUCAAAACAUUGAUAUAGGUAUAAUCAAGUCCGUUUAUUAACACAAUAUAUCAGAUAAUCAAUUUAGCUAUCAUUAAUAUGAUUAAUCAUACGAACUUACCUACUAUUAUUACUCAAAACAUUGAUAUAGGUAUAAUCAAGUCCGUUUAUUAACACAAUAUAUCAGAUAAUCAAUUUAGCUAUCAUUAAUAUGAUUAUAAUUCAUACGAACUUACCUCUAUAACUAUGGUUGCAAUAGCCGAAUUAAAGUCUAGUCCAAAGCCUUAGCUUUCCCAAUUUAAGUUUGGUUGUUUUGUUUAUCUUGAUCUAAAUAGAUAACCAAUUCGGCGAGUAAGUUCAUAAUGCUAUUAUUUAAUAUUUACAAGUCAAAUAUGGUUUUCAAAAGGUUUUUGAAUUGGUAAUUUAUGUUUUAUAUGAUUAUCAGGUUCGAGUUGGGAGAUCCUAGGUCAAGUGGUUUUAGAAGUGAGGUAUCGGGACCUCAUUUCUAUAAACUGAGCCAUAAUAUUUUAUAAAUAUUUACAGAGUGUCAUUAAGGUGGUAUUAAAAUUUUAUUGAAAAUUUUUAACGUUUCUAUUGUUAAUUAAUUAAAAAGGACUAAAUUGAAAAAGGUGCAAAACUUGCUAAUUAUAAUAAUUAAGUAAUUAAAUGACUUGAUUAAUAAAUAAGGAAGAACUUAAGUAAUAAAUAUACCUAAAUUAAAGUGGUGGGAUGGCAUGUUAAGGUAAAAUAAUAAAAUAAAGAAAUUGAAUUGCAAAAUGGUAAUUUUGAUGAAAUUAAAACAAACAAAUUGAAAUUCUAAAAGCUUCCUAUGCAUUUUCUUCUUCAAUUUCAGCAAAAACCACCAUAGGAGAGGGGGUUUAAGUUGGUUUUUCAUUUUUUUGCUUCAUGUGAGUUCAAUUCUUACCCGUUUCUUAUAAUUUUUAUGUUUUUGAAAUUGUUGCAACUAGGUCCAACUAACUCGGACCUUCGUUUUUUAUUCUGUUAAAAAUUUUAGAAGUUAACAUUCAUAAAUAUUAGAUUUUUUUAUGAAUAACAUGGAUUUGGGGCUUUGAUUCUGUUGUAUGAUGAUUUUGUAAAGUGAUUUUGUUAAAUAUUGAUUUUAGGAUUAAAUUGUGAAAAUGUCAAAACAGUAGGAUUUGAUAGUGAAUUUUAGGUUUAUUAGGGGUUGUAUGAGGGCCUAGAAUAUUUGGAUAGAUUAUUGAUUGAGAAAAUUAGUUAAUUUGAUAGAUUAACUAAUUAAGGGAUUAAAUUGCAAAAGUUGUAAAAGUUUGGGGUAAUUGUGUAAAUUUGAAAAAUAAAACAGUAUUAAUCAUAAAAUGAAUUGGAAAUGAACUAUAUGGUAAUAAAUGAGUAAUUUUAUAUUCUAGAUCAAGAUCCCGUAGAUACUUGUGAAAAGGAGAAAUAGCGAAAUAAUCUUUGAACUUUUGCAAUUACUACAAUUCAGUCCAUGUAAGUUCGUACGGUUAAAAAUUUAACAUUUGUAUAAAUUGAUGAUUCGUAUUAUAUAUAUUCUAUGGUUGGAAAUAAUUUAUUAUUUGAACUAUAAUAUUGAAUUAGAUAUUCGGUUUGAGUUGAACGCGGGAUUUGAGUACAUUUGUGAUUUGGUGUAUAACAAGGGUAUGGAGUGGAGAUGGUAUUGGAAGGAGAUAUCGGCAUUUUACCUAAGUAAACUGGGGUUCAACAUUUGUUGCGAAUUCUCGUGUUUUACUUUCUGUUUGGCAUGAUUAGGUGGAUCAGCUCUUAUGAGCUUCUGUUCAGCUCUUACGAGCUUCUAUUCAACUUUCGAGCUUCUGUUGGCGUGUUUGGAACGACCAAAUCUUACGAGCUUCUGUUGACAAUGAACUCUUACCCAUAAGUCAUUCUUCGAAUGGAAAAAUCUCAGUAAGGUGAUUUAUUUAAUGAAUUUGAAAGACAUGUUAUUCAUUUAUUUUGUAUUUAUUUGAAUACAGAAGUAUUUAUUGAUUGAAGUUGUAAAUGACAGGGAGUUGUCAUGGAUGAUUUUUAUUACUUAAUUUAUUAUAGUUAGUUCGGUAAGAUUUUUGUUUAAAUCGUCGAACUUACUAAGCUUCAUUAAGCUUAUUUGUGUUGUUUAAUGUCAUUGUAGAUUUUCAGAAGGUUGGACGAUCGGAUCAGCACUCAAGUCACACUAUCCAACUUAUCUCGAUAGUUUUUGAAAGUUAAUACGGUUUAUAUAGCAUGUAUAGGCUUUUGUACGGUCUUGGUCAAAGUUUGGCUUAUAUAAAUAUUAUGAAUAAUAUUUUGUUUAUAUAACCAACUUACAUAUUGGUAUGAGAAUAAGGUAUAAUUGUGAUGUUAGUAUGAGUGAUAUAUGUAUGUAUGUAUUUAAAUUGUAGUGAACUUUGGUAACUUUGUUAGGUAAAUUAAUGAGGUAAGUUUGGAUACUUGGUUGACAUAUUUUUAAGUUGUCAUUUGAGGUGUUUAAGAACAUAUUGGUUGUAUGUGGUGAUAAUACAUGUUUAAGACUUGAUUUUAGCUUGUUUUUAAUGUCUUAUUAUGACUUGUUGAUGUGCAAUUUGUUGAGUCUAGGUUGGUAUCAGUUUGAGUGAGAUAUGUGGCUUGAAAAAUGACCUAUUUUCGUUCACACGGGCAGAGACACAGGCGUGUGUCUCAGUUGUGUGUGACACACGGUCGUGCGUCCCCUAUAUCUUCUUAAGAAUGCAAGUCAGUAUGCUCACAUGGCCUAGCACACGGGCGUGUGACCUGGCCGUGUGACCCAAGUCAGAGAGUUACAAAGGCAUAGAAGCGGGCUGAGACACGACCGUGUGUCCUUAUUUCGAAUGCCUACAUGGCCUGAGACACGAGCAUGUCUCUUGACCAUGUGAGUCACACGACUUGGGCACACGGCCGUGUGACCCCUGAAGCUUUGAAACUUUUCUACUUUUUUAGAAAAAUUCUCUGAGUUUCUGAUUUAGUCCUGACUUGUUUCUAAUGCGUAUUUUGGGCCUUGAAGGCUCAUAUAAGGGAUAGUAAAUAUGAUUUUGAUUGGUUUUAUUAUGAAUAUUGAUAAGUAAUGAAACGUUUGAAAUUUCUGUCUGAUUGAUCCGUAAAUCUUGAUAAUGCUCUGUAACCCUGUUCUGGCGACGGAUACAGGUUAGGGGUGUUACAUUUAUUGGUAUCAGAGCCAUGAUUUAGUCAAUUCUCAGACUGAACGUAGCGUGUAAAAUGUCUAGAACUACAUGCGAUAUAAAUCUUUGAUAGUGUAUGUGUAUGAUCCGAUCUAACCUUCGUUUUCUUAUAGAUUGUAAAGAUGUCAGACGGAUCUGAUUGUGUUGACAAUGAUGAGGUUAACAGUAAAGUACCGACUUUUGAACAUGGGACGAGUAGUAAUGUCCUGAUUCCUCUAGCUCAGGAACAUGAACUUAAAAAUAUGUUCUUUGGGUAUAUGAACCAGUGGUUCAGUGAGUUUAUGGAAGAAAAAAAUCUGGCUCAACAACCUCCACCCCCUAUUAUACCACCUGUUGUACCUCUGGUUGCACCUUCACCUCCUCCAGUGAUUGAACCUAAUAAACGUACUCCAAUUGAGAAACUUAGAAAGUGUGGUGCUGAAGAAUUUCGAGGCAGAUCAGAAGAUAAUCCGGUUAAAGUUGAGUACUGGCUUCAAAAUAUAUUACGGGUUUUCGAAGAAAUGGCUUGAUCUUCUAAUGACAUUCUUAGAUGUGCUUUUUCGUUAUUAAAAGAGGAAGCAUAUAGUUGGUGGUCGAGGAUAGUAGUUGUGGUACCAAAGAAGAAAAUUUCCUAGAAAUUUUUUCAGACCUAGUUUAAAAAGAAAUAUGUUGGGAAAAUGUAUUUGGACAAGAAAAAGAGAGAGUUUCUUGAGUUACGUCAGGGAAAUAGAUCUGUAGUUGAGUAUGAAAGGGAAUUUGUAUAUCUCAGUAAAUAUGAACGAGAAAUUGUACCUACUGAAGAACAAAUGUGUAUCUGAUUUGAAGAUGGUCUGAAUGAUGAAAUGCGAAUAAUGAUUGGAGGUAAUGGAAUAUGAGAAUUUGUUGUCUUGUCCGAUCGUGCACAAAAAAUGAAAGCAGUGUACAACUAUAAGAUACAACGGGAUAGACAGAUUCGAGAAUUUCACAAGAGAGGUUCUUCCAAGUCAGUUUCGACAUCACCAGCGAAAAAGACAAAAGAUGAUUUUAGCCGAGCUACCUCAAUGUCUGAACAUUCAAAUAAAAACAAGACGAUUCAAAAUGAUUUCAAAGUAUCUACUAAACAAACUAAUAGUGUGGGUAGUGUACAAAAUACUUUGAAGCUUAAGUGUAGAUAUUGCAGAAAAUAUCACCUUGGCGAGUGUAGAAGUAAAACAGGAGCUUGUUAUAAAUGUGGAUCAAAUGAUCAUUUUAUUUGUAAUUGUCCUAAAUUGCCAAAAGAGGAUGAAGAUCAGAAAGAAAAGUAAAUGUCUACCUCUCAGAAAAGUUGACGUUCGGGGUCAGAAAAGUGCUACCGGGACUACUCAUUUAGGAAUGAAAGACAUUGUCGUUCAGUCAGAGGCUAAAGUAUCUGCUCGCACCUACGCCAUUUGAGCUAGAGAGGAAACUAUUGCUCCAGACGUUAUUGUUGGUAUAUUCUAUCUCUUUAAUGUUACUGUAUAUGUAUUGAUUGACCCUAGGUCAACACAUUCUUAUAUUUGCACUACAUUAGUAACGGAAAAGAAGUUACAUGUUGAAUAUACUGAUUAUGAUAUUCAAGUUACUAAUCCACUAGGUCAGAGUGUGAUAGUUAAUUUAGUUUCUCGUAAUUGUCCACUGAAAGUUAAGGGUUGUGAAUUCCCUACUGAUUUGAUGUUGUUACCCUUUCGGGGAUUUGAUGUUAUUCUGGGUAUAGAUUGGUUAUCUUUGCAAUGAUGUCGUGGUAAACUGUAGACAGAAACGAUCGAUUUGAAAUUUCAGACAGUAGAGAUGAUUUUAGUUGAGUCUGAGAAUCCGAAAGAUGUUGUUAGAAUUAUUUCAGCCUUUUCUGCUCAGAGACUGAUACGAAAAGGUAGCGAAACAUUUCUAGCAUAUAUCAAUGAUACCCGAGAUUUAGAAUCAAAGCUAGAUUAGUUACCAGUUGUUACUGAGUUCGUUGAUGUAUUUCUUUAAGAGUUGUUGAGUUUACCUCCUGAUCAUGAAGUUGAGUUUGUGAUUGAUUUGAUUCUUGCAACUGCACCGAUAUCAAUAUCACCGUACUAUAUGGUACUAGCUGAACUAAAAGAAUUGAAAGCACAAUUACAAGAGUUAUUAGAUUGAGGGUUUAUUCGGUCGAGCUUGUCUCCUUGGGGUGCACCUGUUUUAUUUGUAAAAAAGAAAGACGGUUCUUUGAGAUUGUGUAUAGAAUAUAGACAGUUGAACAGAGCCACAAUAAAAAAUAAAUACCCUUUUCCAUGUAUCGAUGAUUUGUUUGAUCAAUUGAAAGGUGACACAGUGUUCUCGAAGAUAGAUCUCAGAUCUGGGUAUUAUGAACUGAAGGUUAAAGACUGUGAUGUGUCAAAGACUUCUUUUAGAACUCGUUAUGGUCAUUACGAGUUUCUGGUAAUGCCAUUUGGUUUAACUAAUGCCCUUGCUGCUUUUAUGGAUUUAAUGAAUCAGAUUUUUCAACCUCAUUUGGAUAGAUUUGUUGUUGUGUUUAUUGACGAUAUAUUAAUCUAUUCCAAGACAGAAUUCGAGCAUGUACAACAUUUGAGGAUCGUACUACAAACUUUGAGAGAAAAGCAGUUGUACGUAAAAUUUAGUAAAUGUGAAUUUUGGCUUCAUGAGGUUGGAUUUUUGGGUUACAUAAUAUCAGCUGAUGGGAUUCAAGUUGAUCCGAGUAAAGUUUCUACCGUGAUAAAUUGGAAAACUUCGAAAAAUAUUUAAGAAGUGCGAAGUUUUUUGGGCUUAGCAGGUUACUUUCGAAGUUAUUAAAAAAAAUUUUGAUUAUUGCUUCACUGAUGACCAGAUUAUUACAGAAAAAUGUUGAGUUUGUUUGGUCUGAUAAGUGCCAACAGAGUUUUGAUCAGCUGAAGAAAAUGUUGACGGAAGCUUCAUUCUUAACUCAGCUUGAAUCUGGAGUAGCGUAUGUUGUUUAUAGUGAUGCGUCUCUCAAUGGUUUGGGUUGUGUACUGAUGCAAUCGAGAAAGGUAGUAGCCUAUGCUUCUCGAAAAUUAAAGUAGCAUGAGAAGAAUUAUCCUACACAUGAUAUUGAAUUAGCCGCGAUUAUAUUCGUUUUGAAGAUUUAGAGACAUUAUUUAUUUGGCGAAAAAUGUUACAUGUUUACAGAUCACAAAAUUUUAAAGUAUUUGAUGACUCAGAAAGAAUUGAAUUUGAGAUGAAGGCGAUGGUUAGAAUUACUAAAAGACUACGAUCUGGUUAUUAAUUACCAUCAGAAAAAGGCUAAUGUAGUUGCAAAUGCACUUAGAAGAAAGUCGUCAUUGUUUGCACUUCGGGCAUUGAACGUUCAUUUAACUCCUAAUGAAGAUGGUUUUGUAUUAGCGGAGUUGAGAACGAAACCCCUGUUUCUACAAUGAAUUCAGGAAUUGCAAGAUGACGAUUCGAAUUUUGUGUUGAAAUGACAAAGGGUUCAGAAUAAUUUGAGUUCAGAGUACAGUGUUGAUGAUAAUGGUACAUUGCAUUGUCGCGAUAGAAUUUGCGUUCUGAGUAAUUUAGAUUUGAAAAAUGAUAUUCUUUUUGAAGCUCACAGUAGUAUGUACUAUAUUCAUCUGGAUAGCACGAAGAUUUAUUGUGAUUUGAAACAGAUGUAUUGGUGGCCGGGUAUGAAACGAGAAACUUGUGAAUUUGUAGUUAAAUGUUUGAUUUGUCAGUAGGUGAAAGCAAAACAUCAGGCACCAACGGAUUUACUACAACCUGUUAUGAUUCUUGAAUGGAAGCGGGAACAAGUCAUGAUGGAUUUCGUAUCUGGCUUACCUAUAGCUCCGAGAAAGAAAGAUUCGAUCUGGGUGAUUGUUGACAGAUUCUCUAAAUCGGUACAUUUUAUUCCAGUCAGAACAUAGUUUACACUUGAGAGAUUAGUGAAACUAUAUGUAUCUGAGAUUGUGAGGUUACACGGAGUUCCGACAUCCAUUAUUUCAGAUCAAAAUUUAAUAUUUACAUCGAGAUUUUAGAGCAAACUUCAUGAGGCUUUGGGCACUAAGCUUAAUUUCAGCAAAGCAUUUCAUUCUCAGACUGACGAGCAAUCAGAACGAGUGAUUUAGAUUCUGGAAGAUAUGUUGAGAUGUUGUAUACUCGAAUUUGAAGGUAGUUGGGAAAAAGUAUCUAACGUUAGCUAAAUUUGCAUAUAAUAAUAGUUAUCAAUCCAAUAUAAAAAUGGCACCGUUGUAUUGGUCUGAGCUGAGUGAAUCCAAAAUGGUAGGAGUUGAUUUGAUUCGAGAAACUGAGGAUAAAGUUCAGAUUAUUCGAGAUAUUUGAAAGCUGCAUCUGAUCGUCAGAAAUCGUAUGCGAAUCUGAAAAGAAAAGAUAUAAAAUUUGCUGUUGGUGAUCAGGUACUCUUAAAUGUCUCUCCGUGGAAGAAAGUGUUAUUGUUCGGCAAGAAGGGAAAGCUGAGUCUGAGAUUUAUCGGACCGUAUGAAAUUGUUGAAAGAAUCGGCCCUGUAGCUUAUAGAUUAGCUUUUCCCUCUGAACUCUAUAAAAUCCAUAAUAUGUUCAACGUAUCGAUGCUGAGACAGUAUAGAUCUGACCCUUCAAAUGUGAUUCCUCAUAGUGAGAUUGAGCUACAGUCAGAUUUAACGUAUUCAGAAGAACCAGUGAGAAUUUUAGCUCGGAAAGUCAAAUAAUUACGGAAUAAAUGAGCUCCUUUAGUAAAGUAUUGUGGCAUCGUCACGGUUCUGAAGAAGCUACCUGGGAAACAAAAGAAUCAAUGAGAUUAUAAUAUCAAAAUCUAUUUUCAGGUAACAAUUUGGAGGACAUAAUUUCCUAAGAGGGAAGAGUUGUAACAGCCCGAUUUUUUCAGUGGUGUCAAAAAUAGUGGUUUCGAGGCCACCAAAUCCGGUGAGUAAUUUUAUAAAUAUUAUUAUUUAAUAUUUACGAGUCUAAUAUGGUUUUAAAAAUAUUUUUGAAUUGGUAAAUUAUGUUUUAUAAUGAUUUAUUAGGUUCGAGUGGUAAGAACUUAGGUUAAGUGGUUUUAGAAAGUGAGGUAUCCAGACCUCGUUUCUAUAAACCGAGUCAUAAAUAUUUUUAUAAAUAUUUACGGAGUGUCAUUAAGGUGGUAUUAUAUUUUUGUUGAAAAAUUUUAACGUUUCUAUAGUUAAUUAAUUAAAAAAGACUAAAUUGAAAAAGAUGCAAAACUUGCUAGUUAUAAUACUUAAGUGAUUAAAUGACUUGAUUAACAAAUAAGGAAGGACUUAAGUAAUAAAUAUACCUAAGUUAAAGUGGUGGGACGGCAUGUUAAGGUAAAAUAAUAAAAUAAAGUAAUUGAAUGGCAAAAUGAUAAUUUUGAUGAAAUUAAAACAAACAAAUUGAAAUUCUAAAAGCUUCCUAUGCAUUUUCUUCUUUAAUUUCGGCCAAAACUGCCAUAAGAGAGGGGGCUUUAAGUUGGUUCUUCAUUUUUUUUGUUUCAAAUGAGUUCAAUUCUUACCCGUUUCUUGUAAUUUUUAUGUUUUUGAUAUUGUUGCAACUAGGUCUAGCUAACUCGUACCUUCGUUUUUAAUUCUGUUAAAAAUUUUGGAAGUUCCCAUUGAUAAAUAUUAUAUAUAUUUUUUAUGAAUAACAUGGAUUUGGGGCUUUGAUUGUUUUGUAUGAUGAUUUUGCAAAGUGAUUUUGUUAAAUAUUGAUUUUAAGAUUAAAUUGUGAAAAUGUCAAAAUAUUAGGGUUUGAUAGUGAAUUUUAGGUUUAUUAGGGGUUUUAUGAGGGCUUAGAAUAUUUGGAUAGAUUAUUGAUUGAGAAAAUUAGUUAAUUUGAUAGAUUAACUAAUUAAGGGAUUAAAUUACAAAAAUUGUAAAAGUUUAGGGUAAUCGCAUAUAUUUGAAAAAUAAAAGGGUAUAAUCGUAAAAUGAAUUGGAAAUGAAAUAUAUUUUAAUAAAUGAGUAAUUUUAUAUUCUAGAUCAAUAUCCCAUAGAUACUCGUGAAAAAGGAAAAAUAGCGGAAUAGUUCCUAAACUUCUAUAAUUACUACAAUUCAGUACAGGUAAGUUCAUACGGUUAAAAAUUUAAUAUUUGUAUAAACUAAUGAUUGGUAUUAUAUAUAUUCUAUUGCUGGAAAUAAUUUAUUGUUUGAACUAUAAUAUUGAAUUGAAUAUUCAAUUUGAGUUGAAUGCGGGAUUUGAGUACAUUCGGUGAUUUGGUGUAUGACGGGGGUAUGGAGUGGAGAUGGUAUUGGAAGGAGAUAUUGGCAUUUUACCUAAGUAAAUCAGGGUUGCGUUUGUUGCGAAUUCUCGUGUUUUACUUUCUGUUUGGCAUGAUUAGGUGGAUUAGCUCUUACGAGCUUCUGUUAAGCUCUUAGGAGCUUCUAUUCAUCUUUCGAGCUUCUGUUGGCGUGUUUGGGAGGACCAGCUCUUACGAGCUUCCGUUGACGAUGUACUCUUACCCGUAAGUCAUUUUUGGAAUGGAAAAAUCUCAAUAAGGUAUGAAUUUGAAAGACGUUAUUUAUUUAUUUUGUAUUGAUUUGAAUAUUGAAGUAUUUAUCGAUUCAAGUUGUAAAUGACAGGGAGUUGUCAUCGAUGAUUUUUAUUACUUAAUUUAUUAUAGUUAGUUCGGUAAGAUUUUUGUUUAAAAUGUCGAACUUACUAAGCUUUAUUAAGCUUAUUUGAAUUGUUUAAUGUCAUUGUAGGUUUUCAGAAGGUUGGACGAUCGGAUCAGCACUCAAGUCACACUAUCCAGCUUAUCUCGAUAGUUUUUGAAACGUUAAAUACGAUUUAUAUAGCAUGUAUAGGCUUUUGUACAGUCUUGGUCAAAGUUUGGCUUAUGUAAAUACUAUGAAUAAUAUUUUUUUUAUAUAACCAACUUACGUAUUGGUAUGAGAAUAAGGUAUAAUUGUGAUGUUAGUAUGAGUGAUAUAUGUAUGUAUGUAUUUGAAUUGUAGUGAACUUUGGUAACUUUGUUAGGUAAAUUAAUUAGGUAAGUUUGGAUACUUGGUUGACAUGUUUUUAAGUUGUCAUUUGAGGUGCCUAAGGACAUAUUGAUUGUAUGUGGUGAUAAUCCAUGUUUAAGAAUUGAUGUUAGCUUGUUUUGAAUGCCUUGUUAUGGCUUGUUGAUGUGCAAUUUGUUGAGUCUAGGUUGGUAUCAAUUUGGGUGAGAAAUGUGGCUUGGAAAAUGGCCUAUUUUCGUUCACACGGGAAGAGACACGGGCGUAUGUCUCAGCCGUGUGUGACACAAGGCUGUGCGUCUCCUGUAUCUUCUUAAGAAUGCAAGUCAGUAUGCUCACACGGACAUGUGACCUGACCGUGUGACCCAAGUCAGAAAGUUACACAGGUAGAGCCACGGGAUGAGACAAGACCGUGUGUCCUUAUUUUGAAUUCCCACAUGGCCUGAGACAAGGGCCUGUGUCCUGACCGUAUGAGUCACACGGCUUGACCACACAGCCGUGUGACCUCUGCAGCUUUGAAACUUUUUUCCAGAAAAAUUCUCUGAGUUUCUGAUUUAAUCUCGACUUGUUUCUAAUGCGUAUUUCGGGCUUUGAAGGCUUGUAUAAGAGACAAUAAAUAUGAUUUUGAUUGGUUUUAUUAUGAAUAUUUAUAUGUAAUGGAACAUUUGAAAUUUCGGUCUGAUUGAUCCGUAAGUCCUGCUAAUAUUCUGUAACCCUAUUUCGGCAACAGAUACGGGUUAGGGGUGUUACAUUUCACAUUAAAACCCAUGGAUUUUUACACUUUCAACAAUUUAAUCCCUAAUCCCAAAUUCAUCAAAAAUCACUUAAUAAAACAAGUUUGUUUAACAACUAAGAUUGUAACAUCCUCAAAACCGCCUUGGUCGUAAAUAAUAUAAGAUAAAAUCUUAGUGAAAUAAGGUAUAAUAUCAAAGAAAAUGAAAGUUGCAACAUAUAAAAAGAUAGUUAAAUCAAGAAGCAUGACAUGAUGUAUUAAGGAAAUGACUAAAUUGUAAAUAUGCAAAAAUUUCUAUGGCACAAGUAUAAAUGUAACAUCCUUAAAAUUGAUAUAUAAUAAAAGUAGUAAUAAAUUGAAUAAUGUAUAAUUGGUUUUCGGUAAAUUGAGAAAAUGAUAUAAAGAUGAUAAAUGAGAAUAUUGAGGAGUAUUAAAAUGAUGAUAAUAAUAAUGAUAAUUAAGAAGUAAGUUUUAGUAUAUUGAUUUUACUUAGAUAUUUAUUAUUAUUUUAUUUAAAAAAUGGUAGUAUAAAAGAAAAAAGGAAGGAUGAAGAAAAUUUAUCAUCCUUCUAACGUUAGUGAAAGGGUGAGAAAGGAAGUUUUCUUUUCUUUAUAAUUUAGUCCUUUAAGAGAGAAGAUGAAGUAGAGUUUCUAGAGAAUAUGUUCAUCAAUUUAGAAGCUAGAAAAUAGAAGAUGAAAUUUGAGAAAAUGAGAAGAAAAAGGAAAGAAAGUGGUGAAGAUGAGAAAUGCAUGGAAAUAAAGAAGAAAUGAUGAAAUUCUUGACAAAUGAGGUAAGUUUCAUACUAAACCUACUUGGAUUUCAAUAGAUUGAGUUAAAUAUGUUUUGAAUGAGAUGUAUAAAACAUGUAUUUAAUCUAAAUACUAGAAAUAGAAAGUAUUUGAUGAAGAAUAGAGACUUAAAACACUAAAUUGGUAAAAGAGAAUGUGAUUUGUAUGGUGAAAAGUACUAAUAUUGAGAAAUGAAUAUGCAAUCUACACAUAAACAUAAGUGGCUAAAUUGUUUAGUAAUCAAAAGUACGGCAAUUAUGUGUGAUUGAAUAAAAGAUAGUGCAAAAAACCUUGGAAAAGAAAAUAUUUUCAUUAAAACAGUUUGGACAGCAGCAGUGACUUAAAUUUGAGAACGCACCAAAAAUUAUAGAAAUUUAGUUAGAGAUUGAAUUAAAUAUGGAAUUAAAUAUUAUUGAGUCUAUUUCAUAUGGAAGAAACAAUGAAAGAAACAUAAUUUUAUAGUUUGAGAUAUAUUAAUUUUCGUGAAAUGAGGUCGGAGUGGAUUCGGGUUCCCCUGUUCUGACUUUGGAAAAUCAUCAAAAAUUGUAAAAAAAAUGAUUAUAGGUUUAAAUUUAUAUAUUUAAAUUCUUAAUGAGUCUAUUUUCAAAAGAAACAAAUAGAAACAUCAUCCAAACCCCGUACUAAGAGAUAAUUAAUUUUUAGUAAAGAAAGGUUGAAGCUGUCAAGCAGCAAAACAGGGACAAAUUUGAAGAAUUUACUGUACUUAUUGGCUUAAUUAUAAAUUCUGACAUUUUUAUGGUAAAAAUAUAUUUGAGUCUAGUUUCAAAAAUAUCAAGCGUAUCUUAAUUUUGAAUUCUGUAGCUCAAGAUAUAAAUAAUUAAGUAACUAUAACUCAAGUGGAUAGCUUUGAUAUGAACACAUAAGUAAAUAGUUGAAUUAUAGAUAAUGUUACAUAUAAGCAUGUUAUAUACUAAAAGCUAAAGAUUCUAACAAUUAUAUACAUAAAGGAUGUGGAAUGGAGAGGAUGAGGAGGAAAAAUAUAUGAAUAUAUAUAUAGUAGAUGAAUAUGAAAUGUUUCGAUAUGGUUGUAGGUGAUGGAAUGAUUAAUAUAUGUGAGUAUGUUUAAACGAAUUGAUAAAAUAAUAAGUGAAUAAUUGUUAAUUGAUGUGAUAUUGAAUCCUUUGUUAAAAAUUUAUGAAGAAUUAAAUUUAUUGGCACACUUUAGAAAUAAAUAUGAAAUAUACAUAAAGUGGGUAAACUACUUUUGAAAGUGCAAGUCCUCCAAUGGUCUUAUUUGUAAAACUUUAAUAUUUGUGUUAAUUUUAUAAACUUUGUUAUCUUUAAUUGAAUAUCAUGUUUUUAUGAGAACUUGAGAUUAGAAAUAGUUGUAAGUGGAUGAUAUGUAAAAUGAAGUGGCGGUUAUGACAUUUGAAUACAGUUCAGGUAAUGAUAUAAAAUAAAUAAAAAUAAAGCGUCCAACUUGUAGGAAAAUAAAAACGAUAUCACGAUGACAAGUAUGCCAUGUCACGAUGUGGAAACCCCAACGCCAUAACGACAGUUCAAAAAUUUUUAUGAACUUUACAAUUUGGCUUUUGAUCAAUUGUGGAUAUUUAAUAAGCUCCUUUACCUCAUAAUUAGUUCUAUCGUAAAUUCAAUUAUUACUAAAAUUAGUUAAUAAUCUACAUUAAUUAAAUAAUAUGAUAAAUUGAUCUGAACUUUUUUAGUAGCUGCUUCGACAACGAAUGUGGCAUCCUGAUGCCUUGACUCAGCGAUCGAGUCGGGUAUGAGGGUGUUACAAAGAUUAAGACAUCCACAAUUGACCAAAGGCCAAAUUGUAAAGUUCAUAAAAAUUUUUGAACUGUCGUCGCGACAUUGGGGUUUCCACAUCGUGACAUGGUGAACUUGUCAUCGUGACGUCGUCUCCAUUUUCCUACAAGUUCCACGCCUUAUUUGUAUUUGUUUAUUUUAUAUCAUUACCUGAACCGUAUUCAGAUUUCAUAAUCGCCACUUCAUUUUAUAUAUCAUCCACUUACAUCUAUUUCUAAUCUCAAGUCCUCAUAAAAACAUGAUAUUCAAUCAAAGAUAACGAAGUUUAUAAAAUUAACACAAAUAUUAAAGUUUUACAAAUAAGACCAUUGGAGGACUUGCACUUUCAAAGUAGUUUACCCACUUUAUGUAUAUUUCAUAUUUAUUUCUAAAUUGUGCCAAUCAAUUUAAUUCUUCAUAAAAUUUUAACAAGAAUUCAAUAUCUCAUCAAUUAACAAUUAUUCACUUAUUAUUUUAUUAAUUUGCUUAAACAUAUUUACAUGUAUUAAUCAUCCCAUCACUUACAAUCAUUUUGAAACAUUUCAAAUUCAUCUACUAUAUAUAUUCAUAUAUAUUUUUCCUCCUCCUCUCUAUUCCACAUCCUUUAUGUAUAUAUUUGUUACAAUCUUUAGUUUUUAGUAUAUAACAUGCUUAUAUGUAACAUUAUCUAUAAUUCCACUAUUUACUUAUGUGUUCAUAUCAAAGCUGUCAACUUGAGUUAUAGUUACUAAAUUAUUUAUAUCUUGAGCUACAGAAUUUGAAAUUAAGAUACGCUUGAUAUUUUUGAAACUAUACUCAAAUAUAUUUUUACUAUAAAAAUUUUAGAAUUUAUAAUUUAGCCAAUCAAUACAGUAAAUUCUUCAAAUUUGUCCCUAUUCUGUUUCUUAAUAGCUUCGACCUUUCUUUACUAAAAAUUAAUUAUCUCUUAGUACGGGGUUUAGAUGAUGUUUUUUUAUUUAUAUUGAAAAUAUACUCAUUAAUAAUUUAAAAAUAUAAAUUUAAACCCAUAGUAAUUUUUUUUAACAAUUUUUGAUGAUUUUCCAAAGUUAGAACAGGGGAACCUGAAUCCACUCCGACCUUGUUUCACGAAAAUUAAUAUACCUCAAAAUAUAAAAUCAUGUUUCUUUCACCGUUUCUUCUAUAUGAAACUAGUCUCAAUAAGCUUUAAUUCCAUAUUUAAUUCAAUCUCUAACUAAAUUUAUAUAAUUUUAGGUGAAUUUUCAAAGUUAAGUCACUGCUGUUGUCCAAAUUGUUUUAAUGAAAAUAUUUUCUUUUUCAAUGUUCUUUGCACUAUCUUUCAUUCAAUCACACAUAAGUGUCAUACUUUUGAUUACUAUAAAAUUUAGACACUUAUGUUUAUGUGUAGAUUACAUAUUCAUUUCUUAAUCUUAGUACUUUUCACUAUACAAAUCACAUUCUCUCUUACCAAUUUAGUGUUUUAAGUCUUUAUUCUUCAUCAAAUACUUUCUAUUUCUAGUAUUUAGAUUAAAUACAUGUUUCAUACAUCUCACUAACAUCUUUAACUCAAUCUAUUGAAAUACAAGUAGGUUUAGUAUGAAACUUACCUCAUUUGUCAAGAAUUUCUUCAUUUCUUCUUCAUUUCCAUGCAUUUUUCAUCUUCACCACUUUCCUUCCUUUUUCUUCUCAUAUUCUCUCUUAAUAUCUAAGGAAAUUUUCAAAAAUUUUGGGAAAAAAUGUAGGUUUUCAUGGCAAAGGAGUAAAUUGUAAAGAAAAGAAACUUUCUUUCUCACCCUUUCACUCACGUUGAAAGGAUGAUAAAUUUCUUUUAUCCUUCAUUUCUUUUUAUAAUACUAUUUUUUAAAUAAAAUAAUAAUAAAUAUCUAAGUAAAAUAUUAAUAAAAUAAUAUUUAACUAAUUAAUUAAAAAAAUCACUAAAAUAUCAUCAACAUCAUCAUUACAUUCUAGAAUUCUCCCUCUUACUAAUUGACCAUUUUACCUUUUAUGAUUUUUCAAAAUUCGAUCCUUGAAUCACCGCUUAAUUUAGUAAAAUUGUGAUUUAGUCCCUCACAGUUCUUUACCUAUUAAAUUUGGUCCCUACAUGUCAAUUUCAUAUCUUAGUAAAUUGGAUUAUUUUCACUUUUGGUCCUUCAACUUUCUCAUUUUUACACUUCGACCCCCUAAAUUUUGAAUAUCUACACUUGAGUCAAAAAAUUUUCACAUAUUUACGAUUCAGUCCCUUCCUUAAUACAUCAUGUCAUGCUUCUUGAUUAAACUCUCUUUUGAUAUAUUGCAACUUUUAUUUUAUUUGAUAUUAUACUUUAUUUCGCUAAGAUUUUAUCUCAUAUUAUUUACGACCAAGGGGGUUUUGAAGAUGUUACACAAACUCAACUAUGGAAAGUCCCUCAACCUUUAACAAUUUUGCAAAUUAACCCCGGGCUAGCUAGAUUAAGCUAAUACGAGCUCAAAAACAUAAAAAUCACUAAAAAUGAGCUUGAAUACAUAAAAAUUUCUUAACGAAACUUUAAUACGACCCUAAUAUAAUCCCAUAGACUUUAAAUAAAUAUUAAAAUAUUCAUUCUCUCGUCGAAAUCAUGGUUCCGAAAUCACAAUUUUCAAAACCACUAAAAACGGGCUGUUACAUUGCUAAUCAUAAAUAUUGGAUUUGAUGUCCUCAGUGUAGUAUUUUCGUCUAAGAACACUUGUAAUUUUUUUCGAUCAGAUUGGUUAAUAAAAUUAUUCAUAAAUGACAUUAAUAUACUUUAUAUUAGUUUUCUUAAAUGAUUUUUGCACGCAAAGCAGAAUAGAAGCAAAUGUUGCUCAUUAGUUGUCUAUUGUUUAACUGAUACUAAACGAUAUUACAUGGUCAGAUAGUAGUAUGAAAAGAUAGCUUGUAUUAGUAGACGAACCUAAACAUUUUCUUAGUCUAAUAAGAAAUGAGCAAACUGAUUGAAAGACUAAUAUGUUGUCUACCAAGUCCAAUUGGGAAGAUGCCUUAGCCUUUGGCGUGGAUGACUGUAAGAAGAUAGAGACAUAGAUGUAAUUGACUAGAUUGAUGACUUGAUCACUAUUUGGUAGUGAUUGACUUUUCAUGAAGGAAGAUGUAAUGGUUACCAUGAGAUAAAAUAGGAUCAUAUUGGGAGAAUGAAUAUUAUCCCAGACAGAUGAAGGAUAUCCUAUGAGGGUAACACACUUAAGAAAAGGUCAUUGAACAAACACUGAAUAGUCGCUUUCGUAAUGGUAUGUCGCUGAGGAGAGCUCAGUCACGAUAUUAUAGUGGAAUGACUUCAUGACUAAAUGAGUUUAUAAUUAAUAGGCGAAAAGCUGAAACUUAAUUAUAAAUAAUUUGAGCCUCAACUAUAUAUGUCCGAUUGGUCCCUCCACUAGCUCAUUGAAACCAGAAAUGAACUGCGUGUUUUGAAUAGAAAUGAACGGAAUGAAUAGAAAAAAAGAAGAAAAGAGAAACAUUCAGGAAUGAUUAUGGUUUUCUUUGAAAUGGAGAAAUGGAAUAAUUUGGAAAUAAAUGUAGGUUUUCAAAAAUGGAAAUGAAAAUGAAAAUGGAAAUUUAUAAUCCUAUAUGGAUUAUUUAAAAAUGAUCGGAAUAAUGAGUUUAUGUUUUUGGACUAUUUUGAAACCCGAAAAUGAAAAUAAAUCAUUCAAACAAAGUGAGCAUGUUGAGUUGUGAAAUAUUGAACAUAUUUUCUCGAAAUUUUACUAGGGACAAAGUCGUUAAAAUUUUACUAGGGGUAAAAUCAUCAAAAUUUUGUUGGGGGUAAAAUAGGAUGAGAAAUUUGUUUUAUAUAUAAAUAUUAAAUUUUAUUUUGGAAAAUAGAAAAACUGAAUCAAGUUGAAUCACAUUACAGAGUACAAGGUCAAAAAGAGCCUAGGAAGUACUCGUAAUUGGACCUGAUGUGAGCUAGGCCCAAAACCCUUCAUGUAAAAUGAAGGGGUGACAACCCUAGUAGGAAUACUAGAGUGUGUCGUCUGAGCUAGGCCCAAAACCCUUCAUGUAAAAUGAAGGGGUGACAACCCUAGUAGGAAUACUAGAGUGUGUCGUCCACCUCUCUCCUACUUUAAGUUGAAAGUCAUUUUUCUAUUUGAAAUAAACUACUACAACUCAACAAUGGUUCUACUAUCUCCUCUUACAAAUAGAUGCCACCAGUAAAGUUAUUUACAAUUUUUUUUGAUAGAUUGUUAUUUUUUUGAAAUAUAGAGAAAAUUAAUUCUCAACUAUUAAAUAUAUCUUUCUAGAAUAACAAUUUUACUGUCACAUCCCAAAAAUCGGGUUAGUAUAAAUGGGCAUUAGAUUGUGGACUGGAGAGAAAAAUUGGGUUUUGUGUCAUAGGAGUUAAAAUAGGAUAAUAUAAAUAAUUAGUUAAUAAUAGUAAAAAUAAUAAUGGUAUUAAUAAUUGGGACAUUAGUAAAAAUUAAUACAGACUAAUUUGGAAUAGCGAUUAAAGUAGAGGUUAAAUGUGUAAAUUAAGGCUAGUAGUUAAAAAGGGAGUUAUUAGAACAAGAGAGAAAUAUGAGAUGACUUAGAGGGUAAAUAGCCCAAUUUUUUUUAAAAAUUAGUUGGGUAUAAAAGUCACUAACCUUUCCAAUUUCUCUCCAUCCUUCUUCAUUUUAAAUAUUGGUUUGAUCUAGAUUGGAAAAUUUUCUCUAAAAAAAUUCUGCAUCUUUUUUUAUUUUCUUGGUAGCCAAACACUCUGUAUUCUUUCAGUUUUACAAGAAAAUCACUCUUUCUUCUCCAAUUUCUCACCUAAACUUAGCUCGUUUUUGCUCAAUGGUGCAAAUUCAUGGAGGUUUUCGAACUACAGGUAAAUCUAUUGUUUUCUUAUGUAUUAAAUUUUUAUUAGCUAUUUUUAAUUUCAAUUUUUAUAGAUCUAAGUAAGAAAAAUAAAGAUCCGUGGUUUUAAAGCUAUCUUUUGCAUAAAAAUGGUGAAUCUGAUAAUAAAGAGCUAAUAUAUGUAUUUAAAAUUAUUUUUAGUAUAUUUUGACGAGAUUAAAAGGUUUACAAAUUCAAUUUAUCAAAAUCUUUAAGUAAUUGCAUGAAUUAAACGGUUUUCUUUUGAGAAUGAGGAUGAACAAUAAUCUUUUUGAAAAAAUAUUAAUUAAAGAAAUUGAGCAAAGUUAACGAUCUAGAUAUAUAAUUAAACCUUAGUUAAGGGGUUAAGAGGUAGAAAUUAAGGAUUUAAUUAAGUUAAAAAGAAGAAAUUAAACGAAAUAGAUUGUAGGAAAUAAGUCGAAUAAGUAUGUGUGAGUGGAAAGUCAUUGUAUGAACACAAAGAGAUAAGAUAGAUUGUUUUUGAAUGAUUAGUAAUAUGUAUAUUUUUGUGCAAAGCUGAAAACAUUGGUGGAGCCUCAACAAACUGAGAUAAAGGCAAGCAUAAAGUUGUCUAGUUUAAUGAGUUGUGGUGAACUACAGGUGAGUGCAUUUGUAUGCUGUAAUUUAGCAUGAAUUACGAGAUCUAGAGAGUCGAGACGAGGCUUGCGAACCCCCAUUUGUGGCGAAUCUUGAAUUUUUCCUGGUGUAAUUCUUGCAAUUUAUUUGAAUUGUUGAGUAUCCAUGUUGUGCAAAUUUAAAAGGUAUGUGUAUAUAUAAUAUAUACAUAUAUAUAUAAUAUAUAUGGGUUUUGGUGUUAUAUAUAAUAUAUGUACGUGCAUGGGUGUUAUAUGAAUAAUAUAUUUGGGUCAUGGUGUUAUAUGUAUAAUAUAUUUACCUGGGUCAGUAUAUACAUAGUACAUAUAUAUGCGUGGUUCUGCUAUACAUAAUAUAUAUGUGUGGAUUUUAUUAUAUAUAAUUUAUAUGCGGUUAUAGGUUUUGUGUUAUCUAAUAUAUAUAAAUAUAUAUGAGACUUUUAAUGUAUUCUAAAAUUUUGAUGUGACAAAGGUCACUAAAUAAAUAUUUAUAUAUCUAAUGUAUAUUUGUAUAUGGUUUUAUAAUUUUUGCGAACGAAAAAAAUAAAAAAAUAAAAAAUAUAAUAUGGAUUUUUAUAACAUGCGAAUUCUAUUGAUAAUGCACAUUUAUGCAUGCACGUACCCGUAAGAGAAUUAUGAGUUUUAUGAUAUUUUGAGUUUUGAUUAGUACAAAAUUAUAUUAUUGCGAAAUACUAAGUGCGAGCUCAACAAUAGUGCGAGUUGGAGAUAGCGCUAGAGAGAUAAGGGAAUGUCGAGCAUAGCUCCAUUCACCGUAAAUAGUGUGGUGUGUUUGGAGAGUGUGAGCAUACGUGCUACACUUACAUGGAGAUAGUGUACGACUUUAUAAGUCAUGUGGUGUGUUUUGGAGAUCCGUUUAUCCAAUGAGUAUAUAAUUUGACUAUGUUUCAUAUUCACAAAUUGCCAAUAUAUCACUGUGUCGAGUAUGUAAUUUGUGUUAUAUGUGAAUUGUUAAAGUAUGUUUAAAUCCUAACAUGUCUGGUGUGUAUAUUUUUGAUGUAUGCAUGUGUACUUACUGAGCUUCUCCAAGCUCACACUCCUUACUUUACUUUGAAGAUAAAUAGUUUGCGGGUUAGCGAGGAGGAUGGCAAAUCGGUGAUCCAUCGCAAUGCAUUUUUUUUAAAGUAUGUGUGUUGAGCUUUUAAACUCCAAAGUGAAGGCAAUGCGGGUCAUUCCAAGGGUUUAGUACUAGAAUUAGACUUAGACUUUUUAAAUAAUUUUUUAACGGGUUGUAAACAAACAUUACUGACUCUUUAUUUUUUAUAGAUUUUUUAAUGUUAUAAUUGCUUGCUUGAUGGCUUAUUUGGAUGAUUUUAUUACUUGAUUAUUGUGAUGAUAAUUAAAUGAACUAACAAAUUUUUGUAGCUAAGGGAGACCAUCGAGUAUUAAGGUACGCCCUAUACCUUUUGAUUGUGUGAACUAAAUGAUUAAUUUAGAAAAGCAUGCACUUAGGUCUGAUUUCCUAUAUGAAAAAUUCUACAAAUGUGUGGUGUGUACGGUUGUCAGUGUGGUUUGUAAAGUUUUAAAUGGAGAGUCACCUUAGUGGUUAAUGUGAUGUUCGAAAUUCGGGUUGGAUCGUCCCAAUUAGGUUUGGGGAGUCACAUUUAGUGGUAUCAAAGCCAGGUUUACAAAAACUCGGGCAAAGCCACAGUUUUUGACAAAUUAGCAUUAUUGAAAAUAUAAAUACGUUGAUUUUAAAAAUUAAUAAAAAUGAAAAUGUUUAAAUCUUUUUGACAAAAAUAACAUUGUGUGAAAAGUAGUUGUAAAUAGGGUAGGAAUGAGAACACAUUGCCUUCUUUGAAAGUGUUUUCUUGAAAAUUUUCCUUAGAUCACUUGUUACUUUUCACUUUCCCGUUUUAUAUAAAUUUAUGCAAAUAGUAGAUAGAAUGCCUCCUAGACGUGGGUGUCUGAUUGCUAAUGCACUGGUGGAACCACCUCAAUGGAAAGCUACACUUAGAACUGGUUUUGAGCCCUUGGUUCAAGCGAUUAUUGGGGUGUUUCAAAGGAUAGCUGGCGGGAACCUUGCCAUAGCUGCCAAAGGGUUGCCAUUCGAACGAGUCUAAGCUUUGGAUGGUAAAGAAUUUCGGGGAGCUAAAGGAGCUGAUCCGACCAUUGUUGAAUAUUGGUUGGAGAGUUUUGAAAGGAUCAUUAAACAUAUGGGAUGCUCGGAUGAUAGGAAGUUUGGUUGCAUCGUAUCCUUACUAAAUGAUGAAGCUCAUCACUGAUGGAAUACGGUAAAUAGAGGGACUGUUGCUGAUCACCUGACUUGGGAAUUCUUUUUGGAGUCUUUCCGAAAGAAGUACUUGGGAGAGUAGUAUGUGGAUGUUAGAAAGAGGGAGUUUUUGGAUUUAGUCAAGGAAAAUAUGUUUAUGGUUGAGUACGAGUCUGAGUUUGUGCGGCUUAGCUAAUAUGCUCCAGAGAUGAUAUUCUUUGAGAAUGAAAGGUGUAAGAGGUUUUGAUUUGGACUAAAUCGAGGCAUUCGAGUAUAUCCAGUAGCACAGAGUACUGAGUCCUUUAAUGAUUUGGUGGAGAAGGUUAAGGUAGUAGAGGAGACGUUGAUCAAGCCAUCGAGAUCGGUAGUAUUUGAGUCCGAUAAAAGGGGCUCCGAUCGAUCAGGAUCAUCUGGAAGGCCAAGGUUGAAAAGCUAUUGAGUAAAGGUUACGAAUCUUACGUAGCCUAUGUACUCAAUUUGAGAAGUAAGGAUUUGAGGGUUUUAGAUAUCCGCACUGUGAGAGAUUUUCCUAAUGUGUUUCUAGAGGAGCUACCUAAUUUUUUGUCAGUCCGAGAAGUUGAGUUUGAUAUUAAGGUUUAUCUUGGUAUCGUACCGGUGUCCGUUGCACCUUAUCGUAUGGCAUCGAAAGAACUCAAAGAGCUGAAGACCUAGUUAUGAGAGUUGUUGGAUCGAGGGUUUAUUUGACCGAGAGUAUUGCUUUGGGGUGCACCGGUGUUGUUUGUAAAGAAGAAAGAUGAUACCUUGAGGCUGUGUAUCGAUUAUGGACAGCUGAGCAAGUUAACCAUCAAGAACAAGUAUCUGUUGCCUUGGAUUGAUGACCUAUUUGAUUAGUUUAGGAGAGCGUCAGUGUUUUCGAGGACUGAUUUGAGGUCUUAGUAUUAUUAGCUCAAGGUGAAAGAGGUUGAUAUCCUAAAGACUAUUUUCAGGACUCGGUAUGGGCAUUACAAGUUUUUGGUUAUGUCGUUUGUGUUGACAAAUACACCUGUAGCAUUCAUGGCCCUGAUGAAUCAGAUUUUUCACUCAUAUUUGGAUCAGUACAUAGUUUUCUUUAUAUAUGACAUUCUCGUGUAUUCUUGAAAUGAGGAUGAUCAAGAUGCACAUCUACAGAUUGUUCUUCAGAUUCUACAUGAGAAGCAACUAUAUGUGAAGUUGAACAAGUGCGAGUUCUAGCUUCGAGAGGUGAUGUUUCUUGGUCAUAUGGUAUCUUCUAGGGGAUUCAUGUUGACCCAAAGAAGGUCGAGGCUAUUCUAGAAUGGAAGCAGCCGAGGAAUGUUACUGAGGUCCGAGGUUUUCUAGGAUUAGCUGGUUAGUUCUGUAGAUUCUUUUAGGGGUUCUUCACCAUAGUUGCACCCUUAACGAAGCUACUUCAAAAGAAUGUGUCUUUUGAGUGGAUCGAGGAGAGAAAGAAGUGCUUUUAGAAGCUUAAGACAGUUUUGAUUAAGGUGCUAGUGUUGAUUCAACCAAAGUUUUGGAAAAAGCAUGUGGUUUACAGUGAUGCAUCGUAUAUGAGACUCGGGUGUAUUUUGAUGCUGGAUGGGAAGGUGGUAGCGUAUGCUUCGAGACAGUUGAGGCCACAUGAGCAUAAUUACUCGACCCACGAUUUGGAGUUAACUGUUGUGGUCUUUGCGCUCAAGAUUUGGCGUCACUAUCUAUGUAGUGAGAGAUGUGUUAUCUACACCGAUCACAAGAGUCGUAAGUACCUCCUAUCCCAAAAGGAGUUAAACUUGAGAUAGAGGUGUUGGAUUGAGCUACUGAAAGAUUAUGACUGCGUGAUUGAGUAUCAUCUCGGCAAAGCAAAUGUGGUUCCUAAUGCUUUGAUUUGGAAGUUGAUGGUUGAGUUACGAACUAGGUUUGCACGGUUGAGUUUAACCAUUAAUGGUGGUUUAUUGGCUGAACUUCAGGUGAUGAGUUUUUGGCAACUCCAUCAAAUUUUCAUACCAAAGAACUACAUCAAUAUCACUACAUAAACUUAAUCAACUACCUUCAAAAGUACCCAUUCAAAAAGCUCCAACCUUAACUUACCAUAUUGCCAAUAUGCACACACUUUUAUACAUCAUACCUCAAUAUUCAAUUUCCAAAAUAACAUAUAUACAAUACGACUCCUAUUUACAUUCCAUGCAACCGAGUUUUGAAUAAUUUAAAAGACUACCGAGACAUAAGCUAGAUAUGUUAGCUCAGGGAGUGAUUCGAUUGACACGUACCGCAGAAUGCCAACUAUAGAAAAUAGAAAAUAAAACAAAGUAAGCAUUAAGUAUGCUUAGUAAGUUCAUAGGUUUUGAAAUAUUAAAACUCACCUCUUAUCAAAGUAACAUACAAAUUAACUAAAAUAUGAUUUUCCUGUCACCACAUUUCACAAAUACAAGGUGAGUAUAUUGCAUUCAACCAUAUAACAUUUCAAUUCAUUCCAUUCGAUACAAUUCCUUGUUAUUCCAUUAUAACAUCCAUCUGAAUCACAAGAAACAUAUUACCAUUCAAUUAACAUCUCUUUUACAUUAACCAUUUAGCCAGAUGAACUAUAAUAAACAAAUAUGGAUACGCGGGUAACUACCAAAAACACACCUGAUUGCUUAAAUAAGUUAUACCACCAAUAGAUAGGGGUGAGCGUUUGAUCAAAUAGAAUCGAACUGAAUGAAAAUUUUCAAGUUAAUCGAGUUGACAAAUCCUAUUUUAUCAUCCUAACUCGAUUUGAAAUUUUCUCGAAUUGAGUCGAGUGAGAUGGAAUUCGAAUCGAAUCGAAUAUAUUUGUUCGAGUUCAAUUUUAAAAAAUGAAUUUAAAUCCUUGUAACUAUUGUCACUCACCAUAAUCAAAUUUGUUAUUAGCUUUCAUCCUCUCAUAAUUUAUUUAUUAAUCUUUUAUACAGGGGUUAGUUUCUUUGUUUGUGUUAGAGAUCGACCCGGUUAAGCAACAAGUAACAAAAAUAGAGGAAUAAAUUGAGAAAUUGAACACACAAAUUUAACGUGGAAAAACCCCUCCAAAGAGGAUAAAAAACCACGGGUAAAGAUAAUUUUACUAUAAUGGCAAAAGAAUGAAGAGUACAAAAGAUGGAGAUAAAACUAAACCCUAAAAACCCGAAAACAAAGAACCCUCAAAACGUAAACACAAAAUUCUCUAAAUGUGUUAUGAGUUCUAAUAUCUAAUGGGUGUCUUUACUAAGGUUGUAAAAGAGCCUAUUUAUAGGUUAAAUUCAUAUGUCAAAUAAUAAUAAAAUAAUCUAAACUAAUCAGUGUUUGACUGAAACAAAUAAACAGAGUUUAACUAAAAGAUUAUUUCUCAAACUUGACUGAAAAUAGGAGUCAUACUUAACAAAUCUCCACCUUGACUCAUCUUUCCACAACGCCAUCUUUACCAAAGCCCGCCACGAGCCUAUCUUGAACUAUGCAGGGAAUUAACUGAGUCGAAUCUGUGCUUAGAAACUGGAAGACUUCUAGCCUUCGACUUGUACACUGCCAAAUCAAAACUAACCCAGGUCUGAUUUUCAAGAACACAGUGCCUUAACUUUUCAAAACCUGCAUCCAAAAGAGAACCUCUCUUCAACAAAACGGUCAUACAUUUUCCCUCCUAUGACCAAGUUGCCUCCGCUCCAAACGAGUUGACUUCGACUCUAUAACGGAUGAGGGACAUUCGAUUUCACCGGUCAUUGUAGAACCUUCCAGAAUAUAAAGACUACCAGUUCUUUUACCUUUUAACAAAAUGAGAGCUCCACGAGAUACUUUAAUACCGCUCGACUCAAUGUUGAUUUUACAUCCUUUCAAGUCUAAAAUACUCAAGGAGAUGAGAUUCUUUCGUAAAUCAGGUACAUACCUGACAUCUGAGAGUGUCCUAAUUGUCCGAUCGUGUGUCCUAAUUUUAACAGUUCCAAUACCAACUACCUUACUAGAUGAAUCGUUUCUCAUGCGUACAACUCCACCUUCAACAGAACUGUGUGUAGAGAACCAUUUUCUAUUGGAACACAUGUGGAAAGAACAUCCCGAAUCUAGGAUCCACUUGGACAUGAGCUUGGAGUUAUCGCUCGUUGACACUAACAAGAAAUCAUCACCGCUUUCAUCGGCCAAAUUAGCACCAGCUACAUCUUCCUCAUUACUCUUAGCAACUCUUUUAUUUCACAGUUUAUAACAAUCUUCUUUGACGUGACCUAACUUUUUACAAUAGCGACACCUUUUGUCUCGUUUCUUUGAUGCUACUAAAACGGAAGCUUGCCUAUCUGCCUUGCUAUCCAAUAAAGCUCAUUGUCGAGUUUGUCUCUACUCAACAAAUGACCCUUCACAUCUUCAAACGAGAUUUUGUCUCUGCCAUAAAUCAGGGUCUCCCUGAAAGACUUGUAUGAAGGGGGUAAAAAACACAAUAAUAGCAUAGCUUGAUCUUCAUCAUCAAUAUGAACCUCAAUGUUCUUUAAAUCAUUAAAAGAUUAAUGAAUUGACUGAUGUGAUCUCUAAGAAGCUCAACUUUGUUCAUGCGAAACGUAAAUAGAUGUUGUUUCAACACUAAAUGGUUAGCCAAAGAUUUAGUCGCAUAAAGAGUUUCUAACCUUUUCCACAAGGCGGAUGAGGUCUUCUCCAUCAAUACCUCCUGCAAUAUCAUAUUUGUGAGGCACAACUGGAUUGUAGACAAGGCCUUUUCAUCAAGCUCUUCCCAUUCUGUUUUAUUUAGAUUCUCAGGCUUUUUCUCGGUAACAACCUUUUUCAAACCGGAUUGAACUAAAAUUGCCAUCAUCCGAACUUGCUACAGAUUGAAAUUUGUCUCACCAUCGAACUUCUCAAUUUCAAACAUUGUUGUUGCCAUAUCUGAAUGGGCUGAUCUUUGAACUAGCUCUGAUACCACUUGUUAGGGAUCGGCCCGAUUAAGCAACAAGUAACAAAAAUAGUGGAAUAAAUUAAAAAAUUGAACACACAAAUUUAAUGUGGAAAAUCCCUCCAAAGAGGAUAAAAAACUACGGGCAAAGAUAAUUUUACUAUAAUGGCAAAAGAACGAAGAGUACAAAAGAUGGAGAUAAAACUAAACCCCAAAAACCCAAAAACAAAGAACCCUCAAAACGUAAACACAAAAUUCUCUAAAUGUGUUAUGAGUUCUAAUAUCUAAUGGGUGUCUUUACUAAGGUUGUAAAGAGCCUAUUUAUAGGCUAAAUUCAUAUGUCAAAUAAUAAUAAAAUAAUCUAAACUAAUCAGUGUUUGACUGAAACAAAUAAACAGAGUUUAACUAAAAGAUUAUUUCUCAAAUUGGACUGAAAAUAGGAGUCAUACUUAACAGUUUGCUUAGUUGCUUCAAUUAUCUUCUGAUUCUUGUCACUAUGUAUUUUGAAAUUAAAAAUAUAUUAAAUGUAAAAAAUGAUUUUUUAAUAAAAGUUAUCUUAAAGAUAAAAUGUGAAAUUGAUAUCAACAUAAAAUUUUAACACGAAUAUUUUAUGGCGUCAUCAAUAAUUUAAUUUUAACAUAAAUUUAUAAAGAUUCAAUAUGAUUAAACAAAUCAAUAAUAUAAAUAGUACAAAAUGUGAAAUUUAAUUUAAUAAUAUAAAUAGUAGAUAUAAAUAAAAUCAUUACUAUUUAGGUUUAAAUAUUUUUUUAGAUGAUUUUGAUUUUGGAUUUAGGGGUAAAGGGUGAGAAGUAAAAUUUUACGGGGAAAAUAAAAAAUUUGGGGGACGUAAAAUUUUGGGGGAAAAGUGGAAGGGAGUAAAAAGUUUUAGGUGGAAAGUAAAAAGAUUUGGGGUAAAAAUGUAAAAUAUUAUAGUUUGAUAUUUGGUUUAUUUGAAUUAUUCGAAUUAUUCGAAUUUGAAAACUCAACUCGAUUCGAACUUAAAAUUUGAAAAAAAAAAUCAAGUUAACUUGAAUAACUCGAUUAACUCAAAAUUUGAAAAAAAAUUUGAUUUUUUCGAGUCGAAUCUAGUUUUGCUCAACUCUACCAAUACACACUUGAGCAUCAAAGUGUGAAGAACAGAGGCUACACUAUCCUCUAAAACACAACAGGAUCUCUGUAGAGAUAAUCGAUAACAGUGGUCUCUGUAGAGACAAACUCAGUAAUCUGCAACAAAUGCUGGAUUUCAAUAACAAUAACUUUCUGCGUACAUUAGCACAUUCAGUAUAAUUUAUUUUACAUAACCCGUAUAGUGUGCAAAUAACCCUAUCGACAUUCUAAUUGUGUCUUAUUCUAACGUUCAUUCGGGCACAAUUUACACAACAGUAUCAUUGAUUCCAAUAUAGUCCAUUCAUCACCUUUUUAUAUCAAUUUGUAUAUAAAUUCAAAGUAUAUUCAAUUAACACAAAUAUACAAUUCAAUCAAAAACAUCUCAAUUACAUAUAUAUAUACACUACAUCCUAUGAACUUACCUAGAAAAACGAUAAUAAACGAGGUGGCAGGGACUAGUUUGCAAUUUUUUCUAUUCCUAGGUUAAGUUCUAGUUGAUUCAAUUUUUGAUCUAUAUAGUAAUUCAUUUCAAAAUAUUAGUACUAAUUACUUUAUAACCUCUUAUUCAAGGCAUAUGACAAAUUAAUUUCAUUUUACAUAAUUCUCUAAUGUUUUGCCUUUUAUUCAAUUUGGUCCUUAAAAUCGAAACAAGCAUAUCUUUCACAUUUAAGCACCAUUUUACAAUCCGAUUUCAAAUAAAUCCUACUACAACCCUCUACAUUUAGAAAUUAUAAGAAUUUCAUGUCAAAUUCUAAAUAUUUUCAUUUUAGUCUCUAAACUCAAAAUUAAUAAAUUUUACUUUACAACUUAGUCCUAUUUCACAUCUAAGCUUAUAAUCAAACCAUUUAACAACUAAAGCUUCAAAUUCAUCAAUGGUAAAUUUUCUAAACUUUAGCAAUUUUGAAAACAAAUAUAUCGAUUAGCUAAAUCAAGUUACAACGAUCUCAAAAACAUAAAAUUUAUAAGAAAUAAAUCUCGAAUACCAUAUAUGCAAUAGCCGAAUCUCCAAGGAAGUUUGAAGCUUUCUUUUCUCAUCAACAAUGGCGUUUGAACGAUGAAAGAAUAUGAGAAUGAGGAAUUCUCUUUCCAUCCACUUUUCUUAUCUUCAAUUACAUUAUUAUUUCAUUAAUUUUUAAUCAAAAUUUUAUCAUAAAAUUAGGCCAUAUUUCAAAUUUCAAUAGGCCACUAUAGCCUAUUGUGGUCAAAUUUCUAUACAAAACCUUAUUCAUUUACUGAUUAAGCGUUUUGGCACUUAAGAAUCAAAUGUGAUUAUCUUUUACAAUUUUUACGAUUUAGUCAUUGUACCUUAAUUAACUAUCAAUUCAAUAAAGUACCAAGCCGAAACUUAAUAUAUCACUACAAUAGACUCGUAAAUAUUAAUAAAUAAUAUUUAAUGACUCGAUCAUCAGAAUACAUGAUUCCAAAAUCACCGUUUCUGAUACCACUGAAAAUAAGUUGUUACAUGUAUUAUGCAGACUAUAUUUUUUUAAUUUCAAAAUUUUAGUCUUAACGCAAACAACAGUCGUUAAAUCUAUUAAAUGACUUUUUAUGAGUAAUAUGUAAAAAUUACAAAUAGACAUAACAUUGCACAUGUGAUAAUAUGUUUGACAUAUCAAAUUUUAAAAAUAGUGAAACUUAACUUAAUGAAUUUAGUAGUUAUCAUUUGGUUUGGACUGAAAUUUUCAAAUUCUAAACAGGGACUAAAAAUGACCAAAUUAAAGUACAUGUACUAAAUUCACAACUUAAGCAAAUUACAAUGCCUAAUAGUAAAAUUUUACCUAAUAUAUAUAUCAAAAUUUGAAAAGUAAAGAAAAUUAAGGAAUGAGUAAAACUACUCAGUAUAUAAUCAACAUAUCAUCAGUUGGAUUAAGCAUACCAAAAAAUAGUUAGGCCAAAAUAGUCAUUAAUUAAUUAAAGACAUAACUUGAGUAAUUUCAUACUUAAUAAACUUAUUUGAAACUCAAAGUUUUCAAAUAAGAAAGCUAAACAAUUUUUCACAAAAUUGAAUAUUUUAAUUAGUCUCUCAUAACAUAAUAAGGCCACGCUUAACUUUAAUGACAAAGGUCGAAAACCACAAUCAACCACAACUACAUGGGUAGAAAACCACAAUGAACCUCAGUGGCCCCACAAUUAUUCCCACUAGUAAGGGUUAAAAACUACAAUUAACCUUAAUGACAAUGGGUCGAAACACAAACCACUAUCAUAAAUUAGUGUCACACUAGAAAUUGAUUUCUACCAAAACUACAUGUCAACAUAGUAAACUUUUAACCUCGUUGACAAGUUAAAACAAACUAAAAAAUUUACAAUAGGUUCAGAUGCAUGACAUGAAUCAUAUUGCCAGAUAUGUUCAAAAAUAGUAUUCCUCCUACCAUCCAAAUCAUCCAAACUCUAGUGUCACAGGUUGUAGAUCGAAUCUCGUGACGAUUGCGCAAAGAGUGUCCUAUAGAGGUAAAUUGAUGAAAUAGGGCUCAUUUAACCAAAUUGAAAUGGCCUCACUUGUGGAAUCCAUGGAAAAGCUCAUCUACUUGAAGUCUUGGUGGCUCAGUGAAACACUCUAGUAAAACCAGAGUUACUAGGGUAAACAAUGUAAAUCUUAAAAGGAUAAUAUUGUAUAGAGUUUAAAUCUCUUGGGACUCUCAAUUAUAGAUAAACUCUAAUCUCAACCGUCGAUGUAACUCAAUCUAUACCGUUGGUUUUGGGUGAGCUCAACUAUAAUUAGAGGCCUUCCCCCUCAUUUGUAAUCAUUCCAUUCAUAGUUGUGAAUAUACUUGUGAGUAUUUACUCAAACACUUGGUGUGUGUUAUUUUCCUUUGUCUUUUUUGUUCUUCGUUGCUUUUUUCGUUUUGAGUUUGAUUUUGCUAUAUUUUGGUGCCAUAGAGAAUUUCUAUGAAAAUUCUUAUUUUACGAGGGUUAGGCUGACUUAGGCAGAUUUGGAGCAAAAAAUUUGCCUAAGGUCGCGCGGUUUGCGAGACUUAAGUUCUAGCCUUGUGAAAUUUGGUAUCAGAGCUAAGGUUACGAAGGCACCAUUCGAGAUGUUGAAAGAAGUAACUGAUCAAAUUGAACCAAUAGAGACCCGUGAGCGGGACAAGAAAGCUAGCCAAUCGAGGGACAUGAUGUUGUCUUUAGAAGAAUGAGUGGUCAAUCUUGAGGAGUCCAUGGAAGAGCAACUCAAUGAAGCCAUGUUGGAGUCUCUUGGUUCCAAUGUGGAAGAGAUGCGAGGGGUGUUGAAUUCCACUACAGAUAAGCUAACAUGAGGGACAAUGCUUUUCAGGCCUUAGUGAUGGCUUUGAAUGAGGAAACAAUGGCCACGACGAUGGCUUUGAGCAUAAAAAUUGAGGAGCUCAAGAGAGAGCUUGCUGUGUGUCGAGCUGUCGUGGGUAAAGGGAUGUUGAGUGCAACAUUGAAUCGAGAGAUUGAUGUCCCAAAACUGAAGAAGUUUACGGGGGCAAGGCCCGCAAGGGAAGUGGAUAACUUAUUGUGGGAGAUGGAGCAAUACUUUCGUGCUGUGGGCAUCAAGGAAGAUGAUGCUAAGGUAAAUAAUAUUCCUCAAUAUUUUACCGAUUUUGAACUUUUAUGAUGGCGGCGUAGGUCCACAAAUGAAAGGCAUGGUUAGGUCACAAUUGGAACUUGAGAGGAGUUUUAAAAAUGAGUUCAAUAAGUCGUUUUAUCCUUAAAAUGCUAAGAAGGAGGCUCGUGCUAAGUUACGUUAGUUUUCGCAACAAGGCACAAUUUAGGAUUAUGCGAAGGAGUUCAAUGAAUUGAUUCUCCAAAUUACGGAUCUGAGUGAGAAUGAGGCAUUCUUUUUUUUUAGAUGGUUUGAAGUCGUGGUUAAGUAGGAAUUGGAAUGUCGAUGGGUCUAACAACUGUCUAAAGUUAUGAUCGUAACAGAAUCUUUAAUCGAGCUUGUUCCGAGGAAAGGCAAGUUCAAGUCUUUCAAGCCCAAGAAGAAGGGUAAUGGUAAGGAAAAUAAAGAAGGACAAGUUGUGAAUUACAAUGAUAGUGCUGACAAUGAGAAACCACAAAAUAAGAAGAAGAAACCCAACAGUAAACUGAGGGGGCCUAUACCACCCCUCACUCGUCUCUAUCAUAGAAUUAGGGUUACAGUAUGCUACUAUACAAAAAAAAUAGAAUCUUACUAUAUUGAUGCAAAAAUAUCCCUAAACGAUUGUAAACCAUUGAACAUAUAACCAAAAACAUGUUAUUCAUAUACUAUCGAUUUUAAAUCGAGCUUAUAGAAGCUAUAAAACAAUUUAAAACAAAGUAGAGACUUAUUUGAAACAUUUCAGAAAAAUGAAAUAAAAAAUUACAAAACAGGGGUCAUGCAAUCAUGUGACCAAAUCGUGUGACAGGUUGAGGCCAUGUGAAGUUACAGGACAUGUUUGUAUUGUCCAACCAUGUGCAACGGCUAAAACUGUAAAGGUGGAGUGACUUGGUCGUGUUUUUAGACCGUGUAACAGACUGUGACCGUGUGACAAAAUGACACCUAAAUUACCCAGACCACACGACCGUGCCAUAUAACCGUGUAUGGCAUACGACCAUGUGUCAAGUCUUGUAUCAGCCCGUGUACACCUAAAUGACCUUUUUUUUAACAAGUUACCUAUUCCUAGUACACUUGUGUCACAAGUCACAAUAUGCCAACAUUCAAACCUGUCCAAAAAUCAUCAAAACAUACCCAAAACAACACAUAUUUUAUAUAUCCUAAGUGUCUAACCAAAAUGCAACAAUUGGUAUCUUAAUUCAAACAUUUGUUAUCUAACAUUCAACACCAUUCACACAUCAUUCAAAUACCAUAUACAAUUGUACACAUUCAACUAUCCUCAUCCAUACAAACCUUAAGAAAAAUUAACCAAAUGACCAAUAUAUAUACCUUAUCUCAAAUACAACUUGAACUUAACAUUAAGUACCAUUUCAAAACACAAACUUGUACUUUCACACUUGUAACCCAAAAUACUUAUUUACAUGCCACUUAUAACCUAACACAAAAUUAUCAAAAAUCUACCGAGUCAAUGGAUGGAUAGUGUGAGCUCCGACUUGACUUCCAACCGACAACAACUUCCUAUGAUCUACAAGAAACCAAACAUAAUGAACGUAAGCAACAUAGUGCUUAGUAAGUUCAUACGAAAAUUUACUCAACUUAUCGAGUUUAAUACAACUUAAACAUUGACUAUAGAAUCACACAGACAAGAGCAUAUGUUCAUUGAUGGCCUGUGCAAAUCACAAAUCUCACAAGGUUAGUAACAUUCACAUAAGAAACAUAUAAUUAUUUCAUGCUUAUAAACCAUAUACAAGUAACCAUACUUGGUAUGCAUAUUAUUUUUCAUAUAACAACUUGCCAUUACAUAUCAUUAGUUGUCAUAUCAUAUAAUCAUUUACCAAUUCAUAUAUUCAUUUCACAUAUCUGGUUUAUACUCGAUGAACCACAAUAAAAUAACAUUGGAUACGCGAGAUAACAAUGCUCACAUGAGUUGUGAAAUGGGUUUGCUCACACGAGUUGUAGGUUAGGAUGAUAAGCUACACAAUGCUUCUCACAUGAGCUGUGAAGAAUCUGCAACAAAUGCAGGAUCUUAGCCAUCAGUAGGACAUCCAAGACCAACACCCGAAACGGUAACAAACUUAAUGACAUGUCAUUUGUAUCCUAGUCGUUCACUAAGUUCAUAUAGGCCUCAAUUCAUAACCUUAUCAUUUAGUUAUUUAAACAUUAUCACAUUCACAUGAAAUCAAUCAUAUAAUUUACAUUUUCAAUCACAUACCUCAAAUACAAGUUCAUUGCAGUUUUAUCAAUCUAAUGUUUAAGAUUAUUAUACAAGGAAAUUCGUUCACAAACAUACAUAACUCACUAAAUCAAAAAGGCAACAAUCAAAUUAUUUUAUUGACUAUAUGAACUUACCUGAACUGAAUCAACAACAACCACGACACCAAGGACUACUCAACAAUUUUUCCUUUUCCACGUUUGUUUACCGGUUGAUCCGUUUCUUGAUCUAUAUGAUAAUUUUAAUUCAUCUAACCAUUUAAAUACCUUAAAAAUUUUAGAUUCAUGCAUAUGGACCCUUUAUUAAAAUUUUACAAUAUUACUCUAAACUUUUACCUUUUAUGCAAUUUAGUCCCUAAAACUAAAACUUACAUAUUUUUUCACAAUUUAUUUUAAAAUCCUAAUUCUAAAUUCAAUGUAGUCCCUUAAAAGUCCUUAAAUGACUAAAUUUCACAAUAAUUCGUUCUUAACUUUUAUAUUUUUAUCAAUUUAGUCCUUAAGUUCAAAACUAACAAAAAUUUCUUUACAAAAUAAUCUUAUUUAACAACCAAACUUAUGAAUCUAUCCACCAACCUCAAGAACACCUAAAAAUCAUAAAUGGAAAGUACCAAAACCUUUAAAAAUUUUACAAAUUAGUCCUUAGGUUAGCUAGAUUAAGCUGCGAUAAUAUCAAAAACAUAAAAUUCACUAAAAACGGAAGCCAAAAUCACUUACAUGCAAGGAAAGACAUAAACCAAAAACUCCCAUGUUUUCUUUCACUGGUGUUUCAAUAAAAAAAUUAUAAGAUGAAGAAGAAGAAGAGUUUUUUUUCCUAUUUUGUUUAAGUUAAUAUUUACCUAAUUACCAAAUUAACCUUAAGUCAAACUUUUAAAUUUCAUUAAAAAAAUAGCCCUUAACUGUCCAUUAUAAUUUCUUAUGAUUUGAUUACUAAAUAAGGCCAUCCAAUCAUGCUUCUUUAGUAAAUUAACACAUUUAAACUAACAGCGAUUGACUUUUUCAACUUUUAUGAUUUAGUCCUUUUACCUAAUUAACCAACCAAACAUCAAAAUCACUGAAUCAAACUUUAAUACGACACUCUAAUAGCCUCAAAAAUAUUAGAUAAAUAAUAUUUACUGAUUUACUAUUUGGAAUUUUGGUCCCAAAACCAUCAUUUUUGACACCACUAAAAAACGGGCUAUUUUAGGGCCAUUGAAAUGCUUCAUUUGUGAAGGUCUGCAUAUGGUAAGGGAUUUUUUGAAGUGGUUCAUGUUUUUUACCAUAAAAAAGGAUGAUGAGCCAAAACAAGUACCAAUGAGGCUUGGUUCAAUUGUGUGUGGGAUCGAAGCUAAGAGGGAAAAAAGAAUGAAAAGAAGCCAGUGAAGUCCUUUUUAUGUUGUGGUCUGCAUAGGAUGCAAGAAUUUCUAGAGCAAUUUAAGACUUUCGUGAUCAGUAAAGAAGUGGAAGCGAAACCAGAGAGUGAGGCUUUGAAGUUUGGGUUAAUGAUACUCAAUUCUGCAAAAGUGAAGAGGGAUCGCAAGUAGAAAGAGUUGAUGUAUGUGGACAUCAACAUCGCAGGUUAGAGGAAGAGUGCUCUUAUUGAUACAAGCGCAUCAGACCUAUUCAUAUCAGAAAAAGCUAUGGGUAAACUUGAUCUCUCAAUCAGUGAAUCAACUAAGAAGAUCAAUAUUGUUAAUUCCAAAGAGGUCCCAACUGUAGGAGUAGCACAAGGAGUUGAGAUGCAGACUGGUUAAUAGAAAGAUAAGUAAGACUUUGAGAUAAUUCACUUAGAUGAUUACGACUUUGUUCUUGGCUUAAAUUUCUUUGACAAGAUUAUUGCUUUUUAGGUUCAUUUUUCGACUAUAUAUGCAUCUGGAUACUCGAAAACAACAAUGUGUUGUGUUGGUGAGUCGAGACAUGAGGGGCAGAAUGAAGAUAUUUUCAAAAAUCCAACUAUCCGAGGAUAUCAUAGGGGAAAGAACAUUGGCUCGGUAGAUCGAAUGAGUGCUAUGAAGACCUCCAUGUAAAUUCUAGAGAGGCGACAAACUAUAUGAAGCUUAUUGAGUUAUCAGUUGGGCUACCACCUGAAAGAAAGGUAAGUUGUGCAUUGGACUUUGAGGGAAAAAUGCCAAUGAAAAAUGGGAAACUGAGACUAGUAAAUGCAACGAGUGAGGUAAAUCUCAAGCACUUUUGCAAUGUUUUUCAUUUUGAAUUAUUGGCUUAGCAAGGACAUAAGAGCCCUUUCAAAGUUCUGAAGCGGCUAAGCCGAGGGGCUUAUAAACCUGAGUUUUCCAGAACACUCAAGGUUAACUUGGUGUUCAAUGUGGGAAUGAGACGCCUAUUUUUGUGAAUUAAGGGGAUCCCGAUUGAGGGAGGUCAUAAUGUGGGCAAGUAAAAGUGGCGAGCUCUUACGAACGAAAUAAACCAAAAAGGAGAGAAACAAUUCGAGUUAGUGGACGACGGAAGCCAAGGCAAGUAUUCUAAGGGGCAGGGCUACCUGACAAAUAGGCUAGUCAGGAAUCAAACGAGGCAUUGAGAAAGUUUCGAGGCGAGUUAAACUAGUGCCAUUUCGAGGAUACAAUGAGGGUAUUAUGAGAAUGAGUGGAGGAGAAUGUCACAGGCCGUGGAUCAAAGCUCGUGACGAUUGUGCAAAGAGUGUCCCAUAGAGGUCAAUUGAUGAAAUGGGGCUCAUUUAACCCGAUUGAACUGGCCCGACUCGUGGAACCCAUGAAAAAACCAAUCUACUUGAAGCCUUGGUGGCCUAGUGAAACACUCCAAUAAAACUAGAGUUACCAGGGUAAACAGUGAAAUCCCAAAGGAUAAGAUUGUAUAGAGUUUAAAUCCCUUAGGAUUCUCAAUUGUAGAUAGGCUCUAAUAUCGACCGUCGAUGUAACUCAAUCUGUACAGUUGGUUUUGGGGGAGCUCAACUAUAAAUAGAGGCCUUCCCCCUCAUUUGUAAUCAUUCCAUUCAUAGUUGUGAAUAUAUUUGAGAGCAUUUACUUAAACAUUUGGUGUGUGUUAUUUUCCUUUGGCUUUUUUGUUAUUCGUUGCUCUUUCGUUUCAAGUUUGCUUCCACUAUAUUUUGGUGCCUUGGAAAUUUUCUAUGAGAAUUCUCACUUUUGCAAGAGUUAGGUUGACUCAGGUAGAUUCGAAGCAAAGUAAUCACCUAAGGUCAUGCGGUUUAAUAGACUUAAGUCUAGCCUUGUGACACUAGUAUAUUAAUUUAUCACCUCGAUAGUUGCAUUACCUAGAGGGGUCAGUUUGACAAAUGUCUUCAACCAUGUGAAUUUUAUACUAUUCUCAUAAUAUUCAUUUUGGUCCUCAUCUGGCCAAACACUCAAUAAUUGAUAACAAAACUGCAAUAGGCCAAUGUUGCUUUCUUUGAUUACUGUUAUUCACCAAUUAGAAGGUUGGUUAUUAAAGUGUCAUCUUCCAACAUUAUAGUUGCUUUCUAGUAUGGAAAGUGAAAUGCAUGCAUUUUCGGCCUCCAUCUUUCUAGUAAAACGCCAAGCAACUUCAGCAUAAUUUCAAACUUGGCUAUUCUAAAAGUCAUUAAUAAAUCAACGCUCCUUAAGUGGUCUUCAAUACAUCCAUCCAAUUUGGGGAACCUAAGAUUAUGUCAAGCACAAAAUUGUUCGAUCUUGUUGUUCAAAAUGUAAAAAAAAAAAUUUACUAGAAUCUAAAAAAGUUUCAUAAUGAUAGAAUAUAAAUGUAACAAAAUGUUAUACUAAGAACAUUAAAAAAAAUUGAGUGAACAAAUUUAUCACAUUUAUAGUAUGAUAAGUUAUAUGUUCUUCUUGAAACCUUAAAACAACAAUUUUACAAUGUUGUCUGAAUCGGACUAAAUUAGGAAUCAAUUGGGGGUAUCGGUUCAGUAAAAGGUAUAAAAUCAGUUGACUCGUGGUAUGGAUCGAUUGAAUUAGGCCUAUAUGUUUUUAAUAUUUUUAUUUUUGUAAAUAUUUUAAUAAUUUAUUUUCUUCGAAUUAUCUGAAUCUAUUGAACUGAGAACCAAUAGUCUAACUGGCUCGACCAUUGAUCUAAUUCUAAAAAUAUUGUAUUUUUAUGGAAAGUGAAAGUAGAAAAAUUUAAGAAUUUUUUCUAGGCGGGAGAAUUUAGUUUUUUAGAGAAUCUUUAGUGAAAAUAAAAGAGAAUAGAGUGAAGUAUUUAUAAAAACACUGCCUUGCAACUUAUGAGUAUCGACAAUGACUCAAGAAUUAUUGCUUCUGGCCCCAACUACAUGUGUAUUACAGUUAGGAAUAUGAAUUGCAUGAAGAAUUUAUAUAUCAUAAUAUGAAUAUUAAAAUAAUCCUCCAAAGAAUAGAAAAAAGUUUGAAAAUUACAUAUUUAAAAAAAAAUAAAAUUAUUCUUACAAGAUUUUAAUAAAAAGAUCCCACUUUCUGAAGUUCAUAGGUGCUUUUGUAGGUGGGCAAAGAAUAAUAAGUCUUGUUUAACUAAUAGAAGGAUAGAAGUUGACAAUAAGGCAUCUACUUUAAUAUAAAGAGAAAUAUUGGUGUUCGAAAUGCAAUUGUUUGCCACCUCUGACUUUUAUUAUUAUUAUUAAAAUUAAUCAUUCAUUCUGUUUUAAACCCCAUCCUUAUCCACCUUAGCCCAUAGCAGUGGACCAAUACUAAAUAAUUUUGGUAACUUCAAUUUUACCAUGAUUGUAGUUGAACCUUCAUUGUGCAGGGUGAAAUAUGUCAACUUUUAUCCUUUUGUUAUUGCUUUAAUACAUAAACUUAGAUAAUUGAUAUUUAUUAUUAGACCAUAAAUUGUCAAAAAAAAAAAAAGACAAAAAGAAAAACUUUUCAAAAAAUAACUCUUUGAGAUUAUAUUAUUGAAAAGGAUAAUUAUAAAGUUGAAAUAAUUAAUUUUCAUAAAAUAUAAAAGAUACAUUUGUCAUAAAAGAAAAAAUCUAGAUAGUAUUAAAUGGGAUACAACCAUCCUACCAAAGGAUUUGGGAAUUGUAUAACAAUCAUAGAAACGAGAUAUGCUUCCUUACAAGGUAUCAUCAGCCAGACAGCCCACUUUAUAAGAGAAGAUGGUUUGAGUGCUUUAUGACAACUUCACAAAAUUCCCUGCUCACACCACCAUCUCACCAUGGGUGUCUACACGUAAGUUAAACUGGAAAGAAGAGAAAAAACAGGGUCCCAUUGCAGAUACGUGAGUGGUGAGCAAGAGACGCGCUCAACCACUCAAAACUAAUAAAAGCCAAGCCUCUCUUGAAAACUUGUGGUGCUCAUCUCAUCAAGGGAUCAAAGCAAAUACCCAAAUCAAUCAAACCAAACUUUAAUAACACCUCUAUCAUUAUUUCAUUUGUUGUCUUUGUUGCCACCUCUAAUCUUUUCCUAGUAUUAUAAAAGAAAAGAAAAACAUAUAUUAUUUUUUCUCCCUUAUCACCAGUCCUAGUCUUUGCCUGCCAUCAUCAUCAUUAUCACCAACCAACCCCAACAACAGCGGCCUCUACUUAUCAUAUUCAUUUGAUUAUAAAACUGGCUUGUUUUCAUUUGCUUUUUACUUGGGGUGGUUCUUUUGUUUCUGGGGUGUCUUGUUAUUAUUUUCUGUAAAAAAGAGAGAGGAAUAGUUUUGCUGGUGGAUUGGGAGAGAAUGAGAGUGAGAGAGAAUUAUGCGAAUCCUUUGCGAUGCUUGUGAAAGUGCUCCUGCUAUUGUCUUCUGUGCUGCGGAUGAAGCUGCUCUUUGCCGUGCCUGUGAUGAAAAGGUUGGUUCUUUCUUCAAUUGAUUCUAGUUUUCAUGUAAAUAUACAUCCCGGGGGGGGGGGUCUGUUUUACCUGUUAAAUGGACCCCCCACCCCAUGUGGGAUUUUGUAGUCUGUUGUUCUUCUGUUUAGGAGGCAGGAUUUUGACAUGGUUGCAUGAAAGUCCAAUUGUUUAUUUCUAGAUACUUGGCAGAAUCUGGUUUUCCAUUAAACCCAACUAAAGGUCCCUCUUUUCUUCUUCAAAAUUGAGUCUUUUAAGCGCUUUCUUCUGCACUACUUACUUCUAGCAUAAGCAAGCAACUGUUCAGACUAUUCUUUCUAUAAACUCUCAGCUGGAAUUGCAAAUAUUGAUAAAAAUAUAUUGCUAUAUCUUUUGAUUUUAUUCAUCUCAAAAACCUCGUUUGCAUUGUUAGCAAAAGGAUGCUUCUUCAAACUUGUUAUGGAUUAGAUUUUCAAUUCUUUCGUUGUUAUAGAUUGCAGGUGAAAAACUUAACCCUUGCUUUAAACAGGUGCACAUGUGCAAUAAACUUGCUAGCCGACAUGUCCGGGUUGGUUUGGCAAAUCCCAGUGAUGUUCCUCGCUGUGACAUAUGUGAAAAUGCACCUGGUAUGCAGGUGUCUUUUUGUCUUUUCCUUUCAUUAUAGUGCUUUGCUUUGUUGCUAUAUCAGCUCCAUUAGAAGUUUCAAGUUUCUUAAACUUACGUUCAUCAUCUCUUGGCUACCAAUGUAGCUUUCUUUUACUGCGAGAUAGAUGGAAGUUCCCUUUGUUUGCAAUGUGAUAUGGUUGUACAUGUUGGAGGUAAAAGAGCUCAUGGAAGAAAUCUUCUAUUCAGGCAGAGAGUAGAGGUUUGUUACUUAAUCUCUGUAAAGAAUUUGGGUCAUAUAUUCCCUCCUGGAGUUUUAAUGUGCCAUUGGAAUUUGAUUUCUCGUCCUUUAUAUAGUUUCCAGGGGAUAAACCUGCUCAUAUAGAUGAGACCAGAAGAGGCCAAAAUCAUCCACGUAAAACACCUAUUGGAGAGAAGCAACAAAAUCACAAGGUCUCUCCUGUUCAUGGGGCAGAUGCUGCUGCUGCUUCUGUUGGCCAUCUUGAAACCGAUACUAAAAUGAUAGAUUUAAAUAUGAAGCCUCAUCGAAUACAUGGGCAAGCCUCAAACAAUCAGGUUAGAACUACUCUUUAACUAUUUUCUAUACCUAUAUAAACAUGCUUAUCUUUUUCUUUCACUGCAUUUGAAACACAUGAUGUAAUUGUUCUUUCAACAUGUUUAGGGGUAAUAUCUGCAAUUAUUUGUUAAGGAGUGUGACUAAGAGGCUGUCUUGGUUGGAACUUGGAAGCCCUCUGCUUUUUCAUUUGCAACGGCGAUGCGGUUGUUUCAAUAUCCAUGGAAAGAUUCAAAACUAUGUAUGAGGAUUGUAUGACUUCUCAAUCGGAUUGCAGAAUCGGGCUGAGAGGAUAGAUAUGUAAAAUUCAUAAAAGGGUGUUGGAGAUCUUCAUAAAGUUCAUGAGGUCAAAUGGAGGAUGAUAGAAUUUAAAACAGAAAAUGUUGUACCUUAAAGAAUAAUUGGCUUGUAUUAACAAAGACUAAGAUAAUAUUUUUGGAAUUUCUCCAAAAGAUAAUGAUCUCAGUGCUAGUUGAGUUGUUUUAGUUCUUGGAAGUAUUGACAGUUUCAUUGUUGACAAACAUCUGCUUGGUUUUUAAGUCCAACUGAGAGAAUUCAUUGAUGAAUGGUACAUUUGUGGAUUCCAUAAUGUUAUUAAACAGUCUUGUAAUUUUUUUUUUGUUUGACUUCAUAAAGCAAAUAGGACUAUUUGAGAAUGCCUGUGAUUAAUACUUGAGUAAUGCCAUACUUGUAUAGGAGGACGGCCCAAAUAACCAGACCCUGAUGCAAGUUAUGUAUGGAAAACAUUACAGAUGUGGGAUUCCCAUUUCAGCCUAUAGAUGGGCCAAGAAACUGAUAAGGAUAAGGAGAAGCAGAUGGAGCACUGAUGAUGACAAAUGGUAGCAGAAGGGAUGGAGGCCAACAACACAUGUUGAAGCAACGUCUAGACAUGUAAGACUCUUCGUUACAGUUUGAAAUAAGGGCAUGGACAAUUUCAGUAUAACAGAAUAUCUUCUCAUAGUAGCCAGGUUGGGCCUGAGUUAUGUCAUGUGAGCAUUCUUCCUAAAUAUUCAAAACCUUGUCUGUAUCUGAUAUGGGUGUUAAUGCACUUGUCUUAUUUUCCUGAGGAUGAGCAAAGUUAUGGUUGAAGUCACAUUUUGCAGUUAGAUUAGCAUUCCACGUGCAAGAUCACAGAGCUCAUAUUAGUUUUUGUAUGGAUUGGUCUAAUUCUUAUGCUUUAACAUAAUUAUUAAGAGGGAAAAAAAGGGGAAAACCAAGGAGUUUAUAAUGAAAGAUCAGUGUUCUGCUCUUUCAAUUAAAUUUUCAGUGCAGGAAAUUCAUAGAGCUGUUGAAGAUACAAACAUGCUAAUAGACAUAACCCUUGACAAACAUUCCUUGCUUGGCCUCCUCUGACUCUCCUUUGCCGGUGUACUUUCCGAGUUGAGCAAGAGAGUUGGCCUUUGCUCGGAUGAGCAGCACUUCCUGAGCAUCCUUCACAUUCUCAGGUCUGCCUCCCCACUUCUUCAGGCAAGUGUUUUGAAGGGCUCUUGCAUAUGAGAAUGACACAUGCCAUGGGUUUGGAGCUUGGUUCAUUGCAUUCAAGUUCAAGGUAGCCUCAACUUCAGACUGCCCACCAGACAAAAACUGCCAAAAAAAUGCAACCAAACAACCAUUAGCUGCUAAGUUUCCUCUAGGCAUGUUAAAUAACUUAUAUUAUAGUAGCCAAUUACCAUGAUUCCAGGGACAGCUGGAGGGAUUCUUUGGCGGAGGAGGCUGAGGGUGUAAUCAGCAACUUGUUGAGGAGUAGCCCUGUCCUUGCACUCCGCACCGGGAGUGACCAUACUUGGCUUGAGGAGGAUACCUUCAAACAUCACAUUGUUCUGGGCAAGAUAGAAGAAAACCUCAGCCCAUAC